RNAcentral lists this long non-coding RNA (46241 nucleotides) under Setaria italica (foxtail millet). RNAcentral describes it as "long non-coding RNA (SITA_LNC003871)". Lineage: Eukaryota; Viridiplantae; Streptophyta; Magnoliopsida; Poales; Poaceae. The record is from RNAcentral.
UGCUUCGAAGUGACACAAUACAACAUUCGGCACCACACAGCGCACUGCACUGCAAACCCAACUUGAUUCAUCACACAUCACACGAUCGAACAAAGUAGACACGUCCAGGACUCCAGGUCCAGCUUCUCUAGAUUUUAACUAUCAUUUGGACAUAUGGAUUUUAACUAUCAUAUGGACGCAUGGAUAACAUAGAAUAAUUCUAUAUACCAUCAUUUAGAUCUUGUCAUGGUUUGAUUUGCAUUCUUGAGAUCUAUGAAACCUACAAGGUAUAUGCUUGAAAAACCAUUAGUCUCAAUGACUAUGUUGUUAUUCAAUCACCAAAAUCACAAAUUAUAACCUAAUGGAGCCAUGUUUUGUACAAAUUGAGCAUAGAAAAUCACAACAUUCGGCACCACAGAGUUCAAAUGCGCUGCAAAACUAAGAUCCAUCACACGAAAGGAGACAUGUCGAGGCUCGAUCCAGCUACGCAACGGAGCGGCGCCGGCUCCAAGCAGGGCCGUACCAAAGUUUCUGAGGCCCCGGUGCGAAACACAAAAUGGGACCCUAUAUAUAGGAAAACCAAUAACCAAAGCAUAUUUCAAUUUUAUUAUGUAACUUUAUGUGUUUCAUAGUACUAUAAGAAGUACCGUAAGAUUCAUACUAACAAAAAGAUCUAUCAAAGUAAUGAAGCUCCCUAAUUAUGAUUCACAAAUAGAACAAAGCUAAAUUACGUUUAGGUCCCGUUUGGGUCCAAGGAAUUGGAAUCUAUUUAAUGGAGUAGGCUAAUUUAUGUUGGAAUGUGGCAUUCCACAACUUUCCAAAGUUUAGAUAUAAGCCUAUCUUAAAUUCAUGGGGUGGGAGAUGGAAAUUGAUUCUAUAGAUUAUGGUUAUUAGAAUGGAAUUCAAUUCUUAUAGCACGCUCUUAGACUCGCUUCUCUAUGGUAGAAGUGCAGCAUACAAGUAUCUCUCCCAUAUCACCAACUAUAAUAUACAACUAUAUUCCACAUACAAUUAUAUUAGCUUAAUUAAUUUGUGUCUAAAUUAUGAUUAUUAGGAUGGAAUUCAAUUCCAAUGAUCCAAACGGGGCCUUAAAGAUGAAGUUCACGAUAACUAAUAAACAGGGACAAUUUGCUUUCCUUGUAAUCAAACCUUGCUGCAAAUGUGAUGACUCAAGGUUAAUAGAAUUUAAGGGUGAGUAUUUAUCACAAGAUGACCAGAUAUCUAGGAAGCAAGAAGCGAGGCCAAUAACACAGGUGUUGUCGCGAGAUUCCGGCGUCUGCUUUGGCGGGACGUGGAUUCGUGGAAAGUAACAAGCACUUGUGUGGCUAAUCGCUGAUUAGGAGGCCCCUCAAAUUUUGUGGUCCGGCACGAUGGCGCCACUUGCACCGUGUGCUAUACGGAGUCCAGGUCCUGAUCCUCGCGGUGUUCUCGUAUACUCCCUCCGUCCAAAUUACAAGUUAUUAUAAUUUUUUAAAAGUUAAAGUAUCUCAAGUUUGAUCAAAUUUAUAUAAUAAAGUGCUAAUAUUCAUGAUACCAAAUAAGUACCAUUAGUUUCUUCAUUAAAUAUAUUUUCAUAGUAUAUCUAUUCGGUGCCAUAAAUUUUUGUGAUUCUCUUUGUAAUUUUGAUCAAAUAUAAAAUAGUUUGACUCUCAAAAAAAUUAAAAAAAAGUUGAAAUGACUUAUAAUUUGGAAUGGAGGGAAUAUAAAGGUAAGGGUUUGGAACGGUCAGGAGCAGGUGGGCUAACAACACCACCUGGAAGCCAACAAAGCGCGGGCAUUUGAAGGAAGCUGCCAUGGAAAAGGUAUCGACUGCUACUCCUACAUACGAGUAUCAUGGGCCAUGCUAAUCCGCACACACGGUCGUUGGAGGAGAUUCCCUGAUCAAUUUCUGACCACCGCUCUUCUUUAUUAGAAGUCAACCUGUUAAUUGGGUUGGAACCCAAACUGUAACCCACCAACCAAUUCUCACAAAUAUAUAAAUUUAACCCACUCCAAAUCAAACUUCCACCAUCACGCACCAUACCACCUCAAACUUUUUAGUGCAUAAGUUAUACAAACUGCUUGCCAAAUAUGGUUACAACCCAAUAAGAACCCAUUAGAUAGCUACUAGUAGUCAAACAAGUUGCAAAGACCUAUGUUACAUAUAUAUAUACAGGCUGUUCACGCUUGUUCUCUGAUCGGGUGCUGGUGCUACACUCCAUAGUAAGCCAGGAUGUUCUUCCAAAAACCUGACGUCCAAUCCAAAGGAUGCAUAAAAGCCUUUAUUACAAAGCAUAGACAAAGACACAAUACUGCCUGGUUCUAUACUCAGACGAUGCUCCAUAGUGCUAGCAUCAAUUGCUUGGGACUGAAUGCCAAGUACCAAGACUAGGAGUAGCUAAGAGUUAAAAUCUCAGAAGAGGCCACAGCAUUCCUCCAGCACGCAGCAGCAGCAGAGCGUGGCCAAACUGGAGAGGAACACAGAUCAAAAUGAGACCAAGUAAUUAAGAAGGACAUAUGACAUCAGGCAAAGCAAAUGAGAUCAAAAUAUAACAUGACAACAUGCCUAACAACAAUCUCUAUAUUAGCUCUUAAACAGACACGCAAACAAUGGUACAGGGACCAAAAGAUAAAUAAUGUUACAAGCAUCUUGCUCUCCCCUCUGCAGGACACUAGAAACAACUAACUUAAAACCAGAAUAAGCAAUAAGCAUCACCCUGAUGAGCUCUCCAUUAGCUGCAUAGAUCAAGUUCUCAUCCAACUCACAGGGUGAAUUGCAAUAUAAGCCAGAAUCAGCAGUAAUAUCUACUAUUUCGAGUAAACAUGGACCUCCUCUUAAAUUCAACAUACUAGUAAUAUGCAUUCAACUAUUCAAGACUCAAAUAGACCUUUGCUCCUCUUCUUUAUUAAUAUAUGAACAGCAGAACUCCUGCUUGUUCCUUUUUUAUUUAAGAAAAAAAGAAGACUUAAAUAGACCAGUGAACUCAAACCUGUGAUACUGCUAGCAUAAACAAACCUGAGAGAUGUCGAAGUCCAUUGCUCCCAACUUCAGUGUCUGAAAGCUCCAGGCUUUUUAGCUACACGAGGCCUACAGCACAUCAAGAUGCAAAUAUAGAUCAACUGAUACUUAGCAACUAAAAAAACACUCAAACUGUUACAUGUAGUAGCAAACAGUGAAAAAAAGAACAUAUAUGAGUCCAUCCAUUCAGUGUGUCUUUAAACAGAAAUAAAGCAUGUUAAAACAGAAAUAAAGGAAGUUUAAAAUAGGAUGUAUGUGUUGUGUAAAACCUGAUGGAGUGACAAAGGUGACCAUUUCACUAGUCUGAUCUUCACUAAUUUGUUGACUUGCAAUAUAAUGAGCAUAUAGUAAGUAAAUGAACAUGGAAAUAUGCACACAUGCCAAAACAGAAUGAGGGUAUACCUUCAUUGUCUGCAUCUUUUUCCUUGAAUAACCAGUCUUUCCCACACACAAGGGCUUCUAACAUCUUUGGAGUUAGUGAGCUUCUUGACUCCCCAAGAAUCCUACCUCUAAGACUAAAGGCUGAUUCGGAAGAAACGGUACUAAGAGGAAUGGCGAGGAAAUCACGUGCCAUAACUGAUAAGAUCGGGAACUUCUCAGCAUGUGCCUUCCACCAAGCCAAAAUGUCAAAGUUUUCAAUGUCUUCCACACAAUCUUCUUCAAAGUAGAUAUCAAAUUCAGAUUUUGGUGGACGAGUCUUUCUCCGACUUGACUUGAAGUUUGCAAAUUCUGAUCCUAGCUGCCUUUUCGCAAGCACCAGUGAGCCCACACAAAUGCUGCCCUCACUUGAAUAUGUAACAGAGUAUGCAUUAACUCUCCUCAAGCGUUGCUCAUACUCCAGGAAGUAUUUUUUCAUCCAAACUAGAGCAGCAUCAACACUUGAAUCAAUCCGAUCUAUAUUGCUACAAAUCUUCUGGUAGAAGAACUCUGCAUAUUCUGCUUUUCCCCUCGGAUCUAACAUUGCUGCCAUAACAAUUCCAAGGUUGACAUCAUAAUCCUUUUUAUUUCUGCGAGCAAUAGGCUGGUUUGACUCAUCAAAAUCUCUACCCCAAUACUUUUCAAACUUGAUCCUCAUGGCUGCAGCCAGGCCUUGUAGUGUCACACUUGUCUGCCAAGAAGGGUUAUCCAAGGCAUCCCAAAUUGAAACAAUUAAAGGCAAGAACAUGUAUGAAGUUGGUUUCCUAUGAGCCGAUAUUGCUUUUGUAGCCUCUUCAAAAGUUUUAAGAAACUUACAGAUUGAAUCAGCUGUGCUCCAUUCUUAUUCAUUUGGAGGAAUUUCUGCAUGUUGAUUUGCAUAGCUAUUCAGGACGGUCUUGUACUUUAUUGCUUCUGCAACCAUCUUGAAGGUGGAAUUCCAAUGGUUGGGUAUGUCAAGAGCAAUACCAUGUUUUGUUGGAAGACCAUUCACCACUGCAAUUUCAUUAAAAGCUUGCAUUCUUGAGGGCGAAGAGACAAUGUGCUUCAAGAGCUCCCGAAUCUUCUUUAUCCCCUCAUGAAUAAUUUUCAUCCCAUCUUGAACUAAAAUAUUCAGGAUAUGCGCACAACAUCUCACAUGCAAAUGUGCACCCUCAAGCAUCAACUCAUACUUGUGAGUAUCUACCAACAGGUCACAUGCAGUGUUGUUGUUACUAGCAUUGUCCACUAUGAGAGUAAACAAUUUGUUUCGUAUGCUCCACUCAGUCAAGCAGAUGACAAGUGCUUCUUCGAUAGCAAACCCUAUGUGUGGAUAUUUGACCUCUUUGAAACUUAUUAUCUUCUUCUUGAUCUUGAAGUCAGGAGUGAUAUAGUGAGCUGUUACAACCAUGUAGCCUAAGUUUUGAAUUGAUGUCCACAAAUUCGAUGUCAAGCACACAUGGGAGUCUAGGCUUUCAAGUUUAUUCUGAAUAUCUUGCUUCAUUCUUUGGUACUUCUUUAGACAAUCAUUGCGAACAGUUUGUCGUCCCACAACACUUAGAGUUGGCUGCAUGGACUGAACCCAUGGUUCGAAGUAUGGAUCCUCAAACUUGUUAAAUGGGAUUUUAGCAUGUAUGACAAACUCUAUCAUACGCUCACGACUAAAAUGAGGGUCAAACACAAAAUUCUCUAUUGGCUUCUUUAAGGUUGCGAUGAAUCUGUUCCUCUCGGCUUCCCCAAUUGCAUAACAAUAUUGAGAAAUGUGGGUUCUAAGGCUACUAGUUCCAGAUUUGGUGCUUAACUGCAUUUGACAAUACUUGCAAACAACUCUAAAACAAUUAUCCACUUCCACAAGAUUCUGCUUAAAAUGUUCCCACACCUUGGACCUUUUUGCACGUGUUUGAGUUGAAUUAGAGUCAUCAGAGCUUUCUGAUGUGUUAAGAGACAUGUUGAAGAAUCCCUAACAAUUUUAUGGCUUAUCAGAACUUAUUAGAGAAAUGAUUAGCUGCAGAUUUGAUUUAUACUUAUGGUUACAAGUUAAUGCCUUUCUUGUGUACAGGUUGAGUACUGAUUAUUUAAGUCCAGGAGUUAAUUCCUUUCAGCAGUAACUGGACUGAUUCUGCCAUCAUUUCCGAAACUAUUACUAGGAACAUAAUCAGAUAUACUAACAAGAAUAAAACAAACACAUAUGCAGGUUUCUAGAAGCCAUGUUCAGAGGUUUGGUUAUAUGUUCGAGAAGAAGAGAUUUGAUUAUAAAUCAAUUCACCAGUCAACCACGGGCAGACAAAGAUGGUAAUACAUGAAACCACUGCAAAGUAAAUUACCACCUAAAGCAAGAAUAUACCUAUAGCAACAUAUAGAAAUGUCAAUAGAUUGUCUGCCCAACCAUGCGGGAGUGGAAUCCAGAAUCAAAUUUCAGUUCCGAGGACUCUUCAUUUGGACUUGAAAGAAACUCCUCAGAUGUGCCAUCCCCAUCUACACAGCACAUAAGCACGAAUGCAUAUUAACUUGAGCCAUUUUUAUGUUACAAUCAUCGACACGAAUGCAAAAGAAUGUACACAUAUAGGUAAGCUAUUUGCCGAAGAUCUCAAUUAGCUCUCAUUUGCUCGAGGAAAACUACAAUUCAAUAUGUAAAAAGCAGAUAUUUAUACAGUGAAGUAGUGGACAUCCAAAAUUCACCAUUAAAGAUUUCAGUGUUGAUGCCAGCAUGUCCUGUUGUGAUUCUGUUCAAAUAUUGAUAAAAAAAGAUAUAUCAUCCCAUCCCAGGUAUCCAUAUUCCAUAAAGACAAAUGAAUCAGAGUUUAUACUUUAGCUGAAGUUCAUUCUAUAGCUACCUAGCAAACUAAGCACAAAAUCGAAGACUUUCCAUCAAAAGUGAUGUGCCGCUCUUGACAUUUGUGGACUGAAAGUUAAGUUUCCUACUUCUUUUUUUGUCCCGCAGCUGCACAGAUCAUGAUUGAUAGAGAACUCACAUGAUUGAUAGAGAACUCACUGCCUUCACCGCCGCCGCCGCCGCCUUCACUGCCGUCACCGCCGCCGCAUCUUGAGAGCCUUCACUGCCGGAUCUUCCCGAGGUUGGGUGGGACCGUGGGAGGCGUGGCCUGGUGCUUUUAUGGGUGAGGCGGAGGUGGUGGCGGCGGGAUCUCGGGAUGGGGAGGGAGGGAGGCGAGGUGGAGGUGGCGGCGGCGGGAUCUCGGGAUGGGGAGGGAGGGAGGCGAGGCGGAGGUGGCGGCGGCGGGAUCUCGGGAGGGGGAGGGAGGGAGGCGAGGCGAGGCGGAGGUGGCGGCGGCGGGAUCUCGGGAGGGGGAGGGAGGGAGGCGAGGGAGGGAGGCGGUCAGGCGGAGGCGGAGGUCGGCGGAUUCUUUAGCAGUUGGAACCCACGGGUACGACCCAUUAGAACUCCAAUAAUAACUAUCCCUCACCACACCACGCCAAACUGCUAGGGAGGUGGAGCCCAAACCAAGUGAAUUUGUUAGCAGUGUUGGCCCAUUAGCACCCAAGCUAAGGAAGUCCAAAGUAAAAUCCAAACUGUUAAAGUUAUUUCAGCCCAAACCAUUUGCAGGGUUAAUUAGAAGAAAUACGUUUCCAUUACUUUCUCUUUUUUUUUUUGGAAAAAAGUGAAAUGCAUGACCGGCCAAUACGUGUUAGCGUGUUUUGGUUUGACCAUCAUACUUUGAAAAUGUAAAUUGUGACCAUUAAACUCACCCGACUAUGGCAAUAUGAUUACUAGCUCAUUAAUCAUGCAUAUUUGGAGGACCUGGUGUACAUAGUGACAUGUAUGAGUUUUCUUUUCAAAAGACCACCUACGUAUUUAGCAAAUUAUUAUGUAUCUAGUAAAUACUGGUAGAUGGAUACUAAUUCAGUGACCAUUUGAUAUUCUGCAGUUCUGGACCACUUUUCAGUCUUACAUCUCCUAUCAUUUUCUCCUUUAUUAUUUUUUUUGAAACGAUCCUUUAUUUUUUUUCUCCUCCCACGUCCAUGCUUAAGCGGCAGCAAUAGGUGCUCGAGCUGCGGGAAUGAGUUGGAGGGAGAGGGGUAGCUGCCGUGAGCUCCACCGCCUUCACAAGCUUGUGCUGCUCUGAUGGUACAAGAUACGAGUGAAUUUCACCAGCAAUCCAUCAUGGUAAGGUUGAGCUGCUCUGAAGGCGGCUACAUCAGUGGCGGAGCUAGGAAUUAGACUUAGGAGCCGAGCUAAGUCAAGUGAAAAAGACAUACUUAACUGAUUGGACAUAGUUAUAAAAUAAAUAUACAUCAUGACAGUUUCCUGCUUUGGGAGUAGCUGCUAUAAGGACCAUCCUUUGCUAUAAAUGUUGCAUCUCCACUAUACUUAGUCUAAUUUUUUAAAAUACACAUCAUUAAAAGACCUAGCUAGAUGAGUACUUGUUAAGUAGUAAGUAGAAAUUUUAUAAACAUUUUGGAUCAUUAGGGGGGCAUGGCCUCUGCCAGCCCACUGGCUCUGGGCAAGAUGCAUGAUCGUCAACUCCCAGUCAAAUUAUCUCCCACCCAACUAGGAGCACGGUUUCCAAGGGACAAGAACGGCAACCGAAAAAUAGCAAUAAGAUGGCUUCAGUCAAGCCACUCGCUACUAACAGAGCGUGCCGGUGAACCUGUUGUUCUGAAGAAACAACCUUUUCAGGUUCUUUAGAUUUCCAAAGCCUUGCGGUAUCUCUCCGGUAAGCUGAUUCCUCGACAGAUUAAGCAAAAUCAAGUUGGUCGCCGUGAUAUCGCGCGGCAGGUUGCCCGUGAAACCGUUCUCGUCCAGGCAGAGGUACUCGAGCUUCUCGUGUUGAAACACCCAUGCUGGGAUGGAUCCAGUGAGUUGGUUUUGGUAAAGAAACAUCAAUGUGAGUUUCUUGAGAUCCCUGAAGGCUUCCGGUAUCUCUCCGGUGAGAUGAUUCAUGGACAAAUCAAGCUCAAUCAAGUUCACCGCCGAGACGUUUCGCGGCAGCUCACCUGAGAGGCCGUUGCCAAACAGGUAGAGGUACUCGAGCUUCCCGUGCUGCAACACCCACGCCGGGAUUUUGCCGGUGAGUUUGUUCGACGACAUGCGGAGCACCUUGAGCUCCGUGAGGCUGGAGAACGCCUCGGGGAUCUCGCCAUUGAGGUUCAUGCCGCUCAUCCAGAGGUAGUUCAACUUGGUCAGUUUGCCGAACUCCGGUGGCACGGGAGCCGGGGCAAACGGGUUAUUGGCCAGCGCGAGCAUCUCGAGCCUGACGAGCUCGCUAAUCCCGGCCGCCGGGUACGCACCGCUGAAGCGGUUGGUGUCGAGCAGCAGGGACUUGAGCGCCGUGAGUCUCGCUAUCGUUGGCGGCACCUCGCCGAUGAAGAGGUUGGUGGAGAGGUUGAGGUGCUCCAUCGCCGGCGAGAGCCUAUCGAUGUCGGCCGGGAGGGGCCCGGAGAGGUGGUUGUUGGAGAGGUCGAGGAAACGGAGCUGCGCGCAGGCGUAGAGUGCGGCUGCGGGGAAGGCGCCGGUAAGGGUGUUGUAAGAGAGGUCGAGGCGGGUGAGGUUUUUGAGCGCGCACACUGACGCCGGGACCGGGCGGGUGAGGUUUAGGCCCGGGAAGGAGAGCUCCGUGACAAUCCCGCCGCCGGCGCACCUGACGCCUUUCCAGGUGCAGUGGUUGGCGGCGGUGGCGGGGUCCCAGUACGCGAGCUGCGUAGGGCUGCCCCAGUCCUUCUUUACGGCGAGUAGCGUGUCGCACUCACCGCCGGCCGCGGCGGUGUGCUGGGACUCGCCGGCAAGGGGGUAGAGAAGCAAGACGAGCAGCAGGGGGGAGCGGCAGCUGGUGCUCGACCCUGACAUUAUUUUUCUCGUAAGCUUCCUCGGCGUGUGAUCUGAGCGGAGGGACGAGGAUAUAAAUAAUAAGUGCCCUAUGCUUAUAUAUAUAAAAAAAAAUAGGCGGCAGCGUGUGCGCGAGGCACGACGUGGUCAGCUCAGCUUCCAACUUUGGCCUUGUUUAGUUGUCAAAGUUUGAAGGUGCCAAAUUACUGUUACAAUAUUGUAGCACACUGUAGUGUUUCGUUUGUAUUUGUAAAUUAUUGUCUAAACAUUGACUAAUUAGGCUUAAAAGAUUCAUCUCGCAAAAUACAACAAAACUGUGUAAUUAGUUUUUAAUUUCGUCUACAUUUAGUACUCCAUGCAUGUACCGCAAGUUUAAUGUGAUGGAGAAUCUUCGUUUUGCAUAGUGCCAAAGUUGGGAGUUGGGGUGAACUAAACAAGGGUUUUAUUUUUUAUGGAGCUGCUAGCCCUACGCUUAUAUAUAUAAAAAAAUAGGCGACAGCGUGGUAUCCUUGGUGUGAGCGUGUGCGCGAGGCACGACGUGGUCAGCUCAGCUUCCAACUUUAUUUUUUAUGGAGCUGCUAGCGUCCGGACCAGAUCAGAAAUUCCAGCUUCAACAAAAUGACGAUGUUGUGGUUGGUCACCGGUCAUCCUGAUCUAGGCACACAAGCUUGAGCGCGAGCAAUCCUCCAAUGAAUUCCUCCUCCACAAGGCAUGCUUAGUGCCAAAACUCAGUUGAAACAUGUAUCAUGUGCACCAAAAAGAAUUGAAUUCAUAAUACCAAACUAUAUACCCAUCUCAACAUUGAAAAGUACCAUAUGCAACAUCGAUAUCAAACGUUUGAAACAUAAAAAAUGUGCAACAAAAAUAGCUCACAACUGCUCAACUGCAUCUGACUCCGUGUACUCAUGAUCUCCACUCCUUGAUCAAUCUCAAAGAAAAACCAGAUGAAAAUAAUUUCAAAUCAUAACUCCUCCUGUCGGUGUUUAGACAUGACAACCUACCGAGAGGGGUGCCCGAGUAGUGUUUGGUUUGUGGGGCUCGCCGAGAUCAGGAACUUGAAGGUGAAAUAGACACACGAUUUAGACAGGUUCGGGCCACUAGAUUGCGUAAUACCCUACGUCCUGUGUGUUGGUUGGAUUGAAUUGCUUUGGAGGGGGUCCCUGCCUCUCCUUAUAUUGCCAGGAGCAGGGUUACAGGUCAGUUAUUUUACAAGAAUACUAGACUAGGUGAGUCCUACUCUGAAUGCUACGAGUACUUCUCCUGAUCCUCGACUAGUUCCUGUCUUGCCACGUAUACUAUGCCGUCCUGCGCCAUAGUCUCCAUGUCAGAUACAUCUCGGUGUCCAACCCUGUAUGUAAGAAUAUCCAAACCUUCUGGUGGGCCCAUAAAUGUAUAUACGACAAGCUCCCCAGUACUUUUUAGCCAAAUGCAGCAGUCUUGAGUACUUUUGUAGACUUCACCAACUAGUUUUGGUGCUCUUUGAGUACUUCAUUGAGUUCACUCUUCAAAGGUACGCGAGCACUGCCAUGCGGCUAGAAUAUGCUCAAGCCUCAUUUAACUUAGUCUCGAAUCCUUCAUCUCUGAAUUUUAUAUGGAAGUGAGACAAAAGUCGCACUCCAUAUGGAGUAGCCCCCAAACCUUAGGUUGAAUCGAAGAAUCAAGCUGAGGGUCAAUCUGUAAUUUGCAUCAUUUUCCUCUUAAAACCCAAAAGAAAAAACAUUUUUUGCCGAUAGACACGUGGCACACAGCCCCGAGCCUUUUACCAACUAGUUUGAUGGGUAUAAAGGUCAACCUUUGGUCAACGUGACCAUCUAUGAAUAAUAACCUUAUCUCUUCCGAAAAUUGAGGUAACUGCCAAUCAGGUGCGAAAUUUUCGGGUCCAUUAAACCUGAAUAUUCCUUUAUUCCGGCUCCUGUUACUACGCCAUGGUUAUAAUAACAGAGGAAAACAUCCCUUCCAUUUUACCUUUGCCAUAUGCUCUUUCAACUUCCACACUACUGUGGCGACCGACCCCAAAUCUUCCAAGAUUAAUCCUAAUCCGAGCCCCUGAUCACCUGUCUUAGCUUUUCAAGCCUAAGUGAUCAACCUUCAGACCGGUCCCGACCCUGAGACCCGACCCCUCUCCGCUGGUCUCCAGUUCUGACCCCGCCGACCCCAACUCACCGCAGGAUCCUUCUAAGUCUUCCCCAACACCUCCCUGUAAUCUGACCCGGGGACCCACGAGAUCUUUUCUCCCAGAUCCCCCGCAACAAGCGCACUCGAUUUGCAUGCCCGCUCCAGAGUUUCCCCGCCGCGUGGCUCAACUUCUCCGACGCUGUCGCUCCGCCUCGUCUCUGGCCCGCGACCGAAUGGAUUCUCGCGCCCCUUCCCCAAUUGCAGCGGAAGCCCCUCUGCAACCUUUCUGCAGCACCUCGCCACCCGCGCCCAUCAUCACAUCGCCAGAUCCCGGCCGCAGAGCCCGAUGUCGCCCGUCUUUUCCGUCACUUCGACACAACCGCGCCGCCUGUUCUUCGCUACCCGACGAUUCCUCCUCCGCCAACCCUGGCCACGGCCGCGACAGCUCCUUUCCCCGCCCUGUCAGAAGCCGCCCGACAAUCUGUUGUUCUGCGCGCCCGCGGCCGCCUGUCUUCUCACCUGUGCGCCCUCGAUUCUAGCGCCGUUAACCCGGUCACUUCCAUCAACUCUACCGCACGACGACGCCCGCCUCCGCCAAAUCUCAACCACCGAGUUACCCGCUCCUGCGCCGCCCUGACGCCAGAGCCUAAUGACCGCUGGCGUCAUCCCCGAAGUCCUGCUCCACCGCCCUCGUCGCUCAAUCGCCGCCCAGGCAAAGCACUCCAUUGCUUCUUCCCCGGCCUUCGCGCCGCUCCCCUUCUCGCUCCUGCGCCACUCCCCUUCUCACUCCCGCGCCGCUAUAAGAAGAAAUGCGCGAGCCCCGCCGGAGUUCCCUUCGCCAUUGCUGCCUUUCCGCCUUUUCGCUUGCUCCCUGCUCGAGCUCCCAGUGCCACCCCACUAAGUUCCUGAGGAACUCUCCUCUCCGAUCCACACCGUUUUCCCCAAGCCAGCCAGCCGCUUGCUCCUCUGUGCUGCGUAAGAGCUUACUUGUGAUCCACAAGAAGCACCGCCGCCGCCGGAGCACUGCCGGACCUAGCCGAUGUUCAAAGCCUUAGCCCCUCCACCCAAGUCUGCUUCUUCCCGACCCCAAGCGUUCCUUGUAAGAAGAAGGUAAGCUGCCGACCCCUGGUCCACCUCGUCCGACCCCUAUCCGCUUCGCCCGACCCCUCUUAUCCGCCCGACCCCGGUUCCGUCUCGCCCGACCCUGUCUGUUCCGCCGACCCUUCUCCGCCUCGCCCGAGGGCUCGGCUGAAUCUUUUUCUUCAAAACAAGGGGGUAUGUGUAAAACUUGGGAACCUUUCAGCGUUGAGUCUGAGGAUCCCUAGCACACCAACCCUCUAGUUUGGGGGUCAGAUCAUAAGCUCUUUUCUCCAACCUUACCUCUUGAUCUCCACCAGCUCCCUUGAACCUUCCCACCCUCCUGCUUUUUGUCGCGAGUUUCUGGGCUCAGACUUGCAAGGGUUGCUGUUGAAAUAACUGUCUAUGCUAACUAAUGCAUUGCAUUCGUGUAGAGCUGCAUCUCGCUGACGGCUUCUACGAGCUGCACCCGGCGCCAGAAGACGACGGUGUAGCUGAGCUCCUGCCCUCUGAAUCCGAAGCCGCCCCAGAAGUCGAGCAGUUCUCUUCCUCCUUGCUCGAAGGCAAGCCCCGGUUGCAUGAAAACCCUGUGUUGUUUUACCAAACUUGCGCAUGCCUUCUUUAACAUGCUUGUGCAUUUACGUAUAGGAGUUGUUUGGAACCCUAGACGCAUAUCGUAGCUUCCCUGAUCUGAACACUAGCUGUUGGACCGAGUAGCUGCUUGCUUAAAUAGGAAGCGGUAAAAGUCGAGUGAUUUCCUGUCACUCGCGAGUUGUAGGAGUUGGUUGUCUACCCUUCUGUUACAACUGUAAGGACGAUGGACGGGGCAGGGUUUGGGUAACUCUUUGGUGGUCGGUUGAUCGCCCCGUCUAUCUAUGAAACUUGACUAAGGCCCGACAGUGGUGGUGUUCGUGAUCAAGUGUUUGAAAGUACUAACCUCAUACUUAGUAUAGGAUGAGGAAGCCUAGUACCGGAUUGAACCUAGACGUGAGCGGUCGCCCCAUUGUUCUUGGAACGGAGUUUCCCCUGCUGGUUGUCGCACGUGGUGGCAAGCGUGGUCACAGAACGGCAGAGGCCGGGUCUGUGGAACCUUGCACCAAAGGAAAUGGGCCCGACACGGGUUAGGGGAUUGAUGGGGAAGGCCGACACGGGAAGCGACCUCCGGGUGCGCGGAUGUCGUGAGGUUAGGUUCACCAUGCAUGGUUAAAGAACUCGAAUCGAUUCGUCUACCUCUCACAGUUUGAGACUGCUUGAUCGCUAUGUCACCCUGAGUAAAUGAGGAAUCUGAUGAUGACAUGGUUUUGUUGAUAUAUAUACAAACCUUGGUUGAUUCUAUGAUUGUUUAGAAUAGUUGCAAACUUAGACCGGAUAAUGAACUUAGAACUUGAGCUAAAACUUGAAAAUAAGGUUCUAUUUAGUGCUUUUGGCAAACAAAACCCCCAGCCAAAAAGCCUUGCAUGUCUAGUUCUGUGGUGUAGCUUUACUCCCUGUCGGUUAAGUCAUGUUGAGCUUAGUAGCUCAGCCUUAUUGUGGCUCCUGUUUUCAGGUGAAGUUUCUGCCCCCGACCCUUCUUCCGUUGGCACUUGGCCGCCCCAGCUCCCUCCGGGUUGGACGGUCGAGUGGGAUCCCUCCUCGGACGGCGAGGAGAGGGAUCAGUGAUGUCCCGGCUGGCCUCACCAGGGAUGUCCGACCCCGACAUUUUGCUUCCGCUAGUGGUUUUACCUUCUGUUGUUUUUCUUGAAAUCUUGUAAAACUCUGAUGUUUAUUUCAUCACCAAACUAAGUGGUUAAGUUGUUAACUCGGUGGAUUUGUUGUAUUCUCUGGAACCGCUCACCUUCGUGUGGGCCUGCUAAAAUGGUCCUGUUCACGUGGUUAAAUCGGAAGAAAUCCGACGGCACUUCGUGUUUACUCGGCUUAGGCAUGAGCGUCGCGUAUUAUGCGGCUAAAUCAUGUUUAAUCAAGUAGAUCCGAAGUGGAUCCGCCACAACUGUAUCCCUAGCGCCGCCACCACCUAAUCUUCGAGCGCUAGCACCGCCAUCCCCCAUCACUCAGCUCUCGAGCGCAUGCGAAAGAAAACACUCGUGACAUUCAGAAUGGGGAAGAAAAUAGCUGCAUCCAAGGCGGUCGAGGGAGGGAAGAAGAAGGUGGACAAGAAGAAGGAGCUUCAACUUCUGACACCCAAGUACGAGAAGACGAACCAAACUGUGCCGCCAACCCCUACGUGUGCUUGGAAACGAUCCCCUCCGUGUGCUUGGAAACGAUCUACUCUGAAGGAGGAGGAGAUCAAGAAUCUUGUGGCUGCCAACCUAGUCCAAGAAAAAGAUGUCAUCAACUGGAGACCCGCCUUCGGCGACCCGUGGCCACUAGAGGAGUACCCAGAGGAACGGUAAUCUUCGUGCAUUUCAUUGAGCGUGGUCUUGCUUUACCGGCGUCAGAUUUCUUCUGGGGUCUCUUGGAUUAUUACAAAUUGGAGCUUAUACAUUUGAAUCCCAAUGGCAUUUUGCACGUUGCGAUUUUUGUGCAUUUGUGCAAAGCUUUCUUGGGGAUCCAACCUCACUUCCAACUGUUCUGGAAGUUGUUCCGAGUGAAGCCACAGCCGAAGAGAGAACACACCGAGGUAUUCAAAGGUGCCAGAAUUCAAAUGAGGGAGAAGCUCAAGGACCUCUAUUUAGAUUAUGAGCUAAUUGACUCACAUUCCAGGUGGAAUGAGAAAUGGUGCUACAUCGGCAACCACAACCCCAAGCUCCCCAAGUUAAUUGGACAUCACCCAACCUAGAACAACAGAUGGUUGGAUGAACCAUCCCAUGGAGACUGCUUGCAACUAUCCGAACUCCUGGACAGGAUAUCCAAGCUGAAGCAGGAAGGAUUAACAGGAGUCGGAGUAGCAUUUAGCUUCAUGAAGCGGUGGACUCAACCCCUGUAGCUGCGAUGCCGCUGGGGUUGUGAGUACUAAGGAGUUAAUGAUCCAUCAAGAAUGUCUCACGAGGAACUUAGCACAGAUAAAGUCAUGGCACGGUUGAGGCAUAUGUUUAAGAAUGCAGGUGAAAUACCCACCAUUAUGCGAGAGUUCUGUGUUGCCAACCCGCCAAAAGCUAUAAGUACUCGUGGCCGCAACCCCCCGAGGACUCAUUUUGGUAAUGUUCGGGUGUACUAACUUGUUUGUCUGUGCAGGAAGAUGUACAUUUGUAUUGCUUUACUCCUCCUCCUCUCGGGGCAGAAGUCAUUUGCGAAGCUGCUCAUCGUGUCCACACAAUACAAAGUGUGGAGAGUGAAGCUGAUGAGAGGAGGAAGAAGAAGAAGUUGAGGCCUCUAGCAGCUCUGAUUCUGAAGUUGCUGGGGACUUUGAAAACAAGGCCCGGCUGAGGGAUAUAGUACCCCACGGGUCCCCACCGACCAAGAUGCCAGUCGGACCUGACAAGUGGGCUCGUCCGACCAGGACGUGCGGGUCGAGAACUUGAAGUUACUUGGAGUACACGACAAGGCAUCAAGACUGUCCAAAUCUACCCGAACAUUCUGGAACACGUAUUGCAAUCCGAUUUAGAUUGCUUUCCAUGUAAAGACCGAGUAGAUUAGAUUCAAACUAACUUGUAACUCUUGGUCGUCGGACUAUAUAAGGCAGCCAAGGGCACCCCUAAGGGAAAUGAUCCCAACGAUCAUCAAAUCGACUCUCAUACCGAGCAAUACAAUCCACACAUAUAGGACAUAUGGUAUUACUCUUUGGAGGCCCGAACAUGUCUAAAACUCCCGUGUUCCAUCGUGUUCUUGUGAUUACCAUCGAGUUCUUGAUUUCGUGACCGCCGUCACCUACAAAUCAACUACUUGGGUAACCCCCUAGCGGACUGCCAGAUCCAUAACACCAACACCGGCCAUUUGAUAAGGCUGGGUCAUCCUCUGGAUCAUCGAAGCACGUAGCUGAAGAUGAUCUUGAAGCUGCGCUUGCUCCGCCGAAGAAAUAGACCGUUGCUGCGACGCGUGCCGUGAGGAAGCCUCUCACUGCAGAAGACAUACCCCCAGCGGUAAUAACUUAUGACAAUAUGACCUUGGUGGUUUGCAGGUAGUCGGGGAGGUGGCCGAGGCGGAGAAGGCGACUACUGAAGUCGCGCAACACAAGCUGCCUGCCAUCGAGGAGGUCAUCGAGAUUGAAGAUGAUUCGGAACCUCUCGUUGCUGGGGUAGGCCCUGCCGGCGCAAGAACUACUCGAGGAACAGAGGCGGCAUCGAAGGCUAGCGAUGAUCACACUCGGACCCAACAAGCCGUGCCAAAGAAGCCGUCCCUGACUGUCAAGCCACUGCGCCUGAUAAGGGAGCCUUGUCUGAAGCUGAGGAGAUCUUCAACGUAAGUCUUGCUACUCCUUUUGAGUACUAAUUGCAGUUUGUGAUCGACUUGUUGUAUGCCUUUGAGAACUUGUCUUAUGUAGGAAAUCUUCUAAUGUGGAACUUGGAGGGCCGAGCUUGAAGUUCGUGACUGAUGGUAGUAGCCACUCGGUACAGGACGUCUUCCCAGCUCAAACAAAUCCACAGCUAGAAGAACAUCCUGCACCGCUAAAUAACCCAGGUGCCAUAUCUCUCAUAGCAGCGUUGACACAGGAUGUAAUACCUUCGUUGACUAACGCUGUAGUGCCAGCCCCCAAGCAACUAGUGCCCGAGGCCGCAGUGGCAACUACCUUUGGCACCAUGGCUACUCUCGUAGCCCCCAAGCCAGGGGUAGAAACUGAAGCAGUGGAAGUGCUGGAAGUCGUGGCGGCCGUCCCAUCUUCUGAGCUGAGUCCGUCGACAAGUCGUGCCAUGGUUCCACUCAGCGUGGCAUACGUUGAGACACAUGGGGACUCGCUGGCAGCUGAAGAACUUAAUCUUGAAGACAUUCAGUUGAUCUACGACCUGCUGCUAGACAUGGAAAUGGUGGCUGGAAUGAUGGAGAUGUACUGCCGUGUUGGUGUAUAUGUAUAGGUAUGCUUUAAUCCUGCUUAUUCCAUAACUUGAAAUCAUUACUCGGACCAUGACAUGAGUACGUAUUCUGUGGUGCAGGAUGUCAUCAGGUGCUCUCGGUGGAAAUGGUAGAUGCUGUAAGGCUAUGGGGAUUCAGUACUCUGUGCUGAGGCCCUUGCCAAGGAGCUUGCCAAAGAGAUGGAUUACUCCUCCCGACUGCUGAUGAAGUAUGACGGACAAGCUGCCAAGUAUAGGAACCGCGUUUAGCAGUUGGAGGAGGAGAAGGACCAUCUCAAAGGUUGCAACAAGUCUUUGAACCAGGAACUAAGAGGUAAUUUAUCUUCUCCCUUGGUCUUCGAGUACUAAUUUUUCUUUACAAUACUAAACUUCUUGUGUAUUAUUCCUGCAGUGCUCGAGAAAUCGAAAGAGGAUCUCCAAGCCAAGUCAUUGACUGGAUGUAACACCUAGUGUUAUUAGAAGCCUAAGAAGGGCAUUAAGAGGUUAAUGAUGAAAUUUGGAUUAAAAGGAGAUAUUAUGGGCCAAAGUCAAAUUUGACAAAAAAUUCAAAUUUAAGAUUCAAAUUUGGAAAAAUUUGACAAAAAUGUAAAAUCAAGCGUUGAAGGUAUUUAGAAUUCAAAAGAAUCAAGUUUGAAGUCAAAUUCAGGUCAUAGACACCUCAACUGCAUAGUCAAAGAUGGAUUGACUUGAGUUACUAUUCACUGUCUGAAAAUACUCAAGUCUGAAAACAGUAACAUCUAGCCAACUUUGAAAUUAAAUUCUGAAAGAUUUUGCAUUGAAGCUAGAAGAUGUUUUGAAACCCAAGUGGACUCUGAUCUACAGGGAACCUAUUGGGUAUGUUACUGGCCAGAGAAAACAAAGAAUCCAUAGUUUAAAUGGGGUUCAAAGUUUGAAUGUGGUACCAUUUUCAGCUUAGCUGCUGAAACUGAGUUAAGUCUGAAAACGGUGUGGAGUAGGCCACUUUGAAAUUCAAUUCUAGAGAAUGUUUCAUUUACACUCUAAAAAACUUUGGAUCCCAAGUGAGCUAUGAUGACCAGUAAUCACCCUGAGCAUGUUGAUGGACAAGGAAAGAGAAGGAUUCAAAUUUUUCUAGGAGCUGAAAGUUGGAAUCCUUCACUGUCAGUUUAACUGACAAAGACUGAAAGGCUAUCGCCAUUCAGUCCUAAGGACAGUGCAAAAUGGCGAUUUUUAGCUUGAUAUUUUUGAAAAAAAUGUAUGUAAGAGUUGGGUUUUUAUAUGCAAAAUGGAACCCCUUUCAUAUGGUUAAUAAGAUCCAGUAGAUGUUGGGCAAAAUAAAUUAAGUUUGGACAUUUGAAUUUGGACUUAAAGUGGAGCAUCGGGCUAAUUUUGAAGUUUCUGACGAAACUGAAUGGAAGGGGCGAUUCACUUCAAGACUGACAUAACCCUAGCUCAAGUUUGAGGCUGAAAUUCAAGGUGAUGGAGUGAUCUGUGGAUCUCGAUGCAAAUCAAUCAAAUGUAGAGCACAUGAUCCUCUACAACUUUGGUUAAAGUCUUAUGGUAGUUGGGUGAUCGGUUUGGAUAGAAUUCGACGAUGAACAAGCCAGGUUCAAAGAAAAAUGUUGCCUGUUACCGCCUUUGGUCAAUAGUCCGUCUGCCUGCUUGCUGAUAGUGUUGCCGCUUUACCUCGCCUGGCCGCCAUGCAACUACUACCUCGCCACCGGAGCUCCCUACGUGUUGCGCGCACACCACCUUGGUCGCUUACCCUCUAUCAUCUCCUCCGACCUUUACAAACUGAGCUGUUGUCGUCGUCCGUCUCUUUUCCUCACCGCAAGAACAGAGCCACGCCUCUGCUCGAUUCCUCAAGUUUGCUUGCCUCCCGUUCUAAUCGCUCGUGCUCAAAGCUCCACCACCAACUAAUCAUCGCUCCCUGCCCCUCGUUUCCGCAGCUUUGCGCCGGCGAGCUUGUCCCUGCCUUUCUUCAUGUCCGCUGGCCGCCGUAGCCACCUCUCCGGUGAGCCCCUUGCGUCGCCCCUCUCCGCCCAGGUUCUUAGUCCUAAGCGCGUGUGUAGGCCUUGUAGAAGCUUGUGAGCGAGCUUUUGGCUGGAGAGCUGCCGUCGUUGCCGCCCGCACCGGCCAUGUCCCGGCCAUGCCCGCCGCCGCCAUCGAGAGCCCGUGCACAGCCCGUCCUCUUGGACAAUAGCACCACCAAUGGAUGCGCAAGAGCCUAGAGGGCAUCCCCGGCUAGUCCCGCCGUCGGGAACCUCGCCGCCAGCAAGCUUUCGCUGCGCGCCCGUGGUCAAUGGCCAGGCAGCUGUGCUUGACCAGGGGGCCCGUGUGUCUGUGUUCUUGGGUAGGAGGAGUGCGGGUGAGGAAAAAAGGUCUCCAGGGUUUUUUUGGGAAAAUGGUUUAAGGUAUUUAGAAAUUAGUUUUAAAUCCAAUUUUCAUGUUUGACUCAGUAUAAUUUAUAGAAAUGUCCAAAAAUAGUGAAACCAAUUUUGUUAUGUUUGUUUUAUUUUUCCUUUAUGCAUUAAAAUUCUUAAACCCUAGGAAAAGAUAAUAAAAUUAGGUAUUUAUUUAGUACCUUUAUUUAAGGAAUUUAAAUAAAUAGUUAACCUUUAUAAAAUGUAUAAAAUUUUGAAUAAUGUUUUAUUAGCCACAAAUGCUCAUUAAUCCAUAGGAAUUAGGUUUUGAGAUUAGAAAUUAUUUAUAAUGCUUUUUUAAAUAAAAGAAAAGGCUUAAGUUAGGUUAGUUAAGAAAGUAAUUUGUGGGUUAAUCUUUUAUGGGUAGUUUAGUGUUGGCUUGCAACUUUAUUUUGAAGAGAAGUUGUAUAGUCAGUGUUUCAGGAAGUUUUGCAUAUUCUAAUUGUGACCUCCAUCAUAUCGUAGAAUCUGAAGCUCUUGAAGUGGAUUUCGUGGAUUUAUCCAAAGAUCGUUAGGAGUUCGAGGAGUCAUUGAAUGGUUUUCCGAGGAAACUAACAUUUUUUGAUCCCAAGAAAGCCCCGGUGCAUCUAAGCCUAUCUAAUUUUAGAAAUUAUUAUUCAUGAGUCCGUCUAUUGGUUAUUUUCUUAUGGAUGCAUUAAGUCUAGGAGUUGAUUGCAAACCACUCUUGUGCAUGAUCCUACCUUGUAUAGAGGACAUCUUUGCCACCUGUUCAACUAAUUAGUAACUAUCCUUUAAGUAACUUUGGUUACUCAACUCUAAGGUUAAUUUUGUCAUACAUGUUAAUCAAGGAAAAUAGCUUGGUAUUUUGGAAAUGUGGACAGAAGCUAGAGAUGGUAGUUCUGUCUGCUAAGUUAAUUUGGUUAAAGCUCGUUCGUUGUCUUAAGCUUUGAUCAAGUGAUUUUACCUAGUUCCUUACUGUAUAUGGGACCAGCAAAGCACGGUAGGUUAGUUGGCUCUCUGAUCGGGAAUAUUUCAUACCCAUGCUUGGCGUGCAGUGGAAAGGCAGGGGCGUAGCUUGAAACUCACAUGGAGAUCAGGCCAGACAUGGGGUCCCAUGUGGGGGUGCGUCCCUGGGUUCGAGUGGUCAUAUUCCCAAUCUUUGGGUACGGCUAAUAGAAAGGUUGUUAUGUGCAACCCGGACAGUUGUGCAUGGUUGCUAGUCGGGUAUCUCCUGCAGGAUGUGAAUCGGUUCGGAUCGCUGCAAUUCUUUGUUAUCAAUGCACAACAGUCUGGUGAAGAGGAAGACCCGAAGAACUAGGGUAUUUUGUGAGUCUCAUAAUACCCUAGUAAUUAACUUAGUUGUCUAAUUACUUGACUUCCCAGUCUUGUUUAAAUUUGAAACUCUUAGAAUGAUUUAACUUACACUUUAAGUUUAUUUCAAUCUAUGGUUUGUAAUAAAUCGCACCUUCAGUAUUUAUGUAAAAAUGUAAUGUUUGUUGAUCCUUUCCCAUCGUGGAAGCGAUCCUGAUGUAUGGCUAAGCUUCAAGUCAUGGAUGAUUCGAGGCGUCCUGGGAACACUCAACUGGCUACUAGAUUUAAACUGUUUUCAGUGCGUUUUGGAUAAUUAUUGUUCCAACAAUAAUUAGGCGCACUUAAGUCAGUUUAAGUCAAACGGUUCUACCACACUGGAAGAACUCCUACUAUCGGGUGAUGGACCAGCUGAUAAGCUGACUAGAUUAUAUGAGAACCUAGACCAUCACCUAAAGAAGGAGAAGAAGAUGCGCGAAGAUGGUGAGGUCAACUUGGUCAAUGCCAUGAAGACCCUCCAGGAGUGCGAGGCCGAGCUGAAAGCUACGAUACUUGCUUUGAAGGAAACAUUCGAAGCAACCUAGCCAAUUGCAGACAUGGUGGAGCCCCCAGUUGAGGCUGUAGAGCCCCACCCUCUAUCUGAAAUACUCAAGGAAGUGCCAGCGAAGUUCAUCGGCUACGUCCAGAGGAUAGCAAAGUCUAUAUCUAAGUAGCUGUUGAGCUUUGUGAAGUUCUUCUACUCGCAAGCUGAUCUAGCUCCUGUUGCAGAAGGUACAGCGGAGGACUCCUUAGAUGAGCUCUUCCAGCAGUACCCGCAAGAGAUGGACCCUAUCAAGGAAGAAGUAGAAAAUCAUUUAGACCUUGAGUAGUCCUGUACAAAAUAUUAGUUCUUGUAAUGUAAACAUGAUAUGAAUGCUCUGAAAUAUAAAUAAUUCUAAGUCAUGCUGUAAUUUUUAUUGCUUUCGACUUGUUGUUUUAGUGCAUCUUACGAUCUACUCUGAUUGCUCGUAUGGUAGAUGUAAGUGUCUGCGCACAAGGCUACUCUGAUGAGCCUUUAGGAUGUGACUCCUUUCUGUGGAGUACGAGUACUCACAGCAUUUUGGUAGUUAGACCUCUUAGGCGAGUAGUCUCUUCAGGAUUUCUUUGACUAGAGCCUAUCUUUACAACCUCUCUGGGUUGUAUUGAUGUUGUGCUCUUGAACACCUGGAACUACGAGCUUGUUAUUACAAGUCGCGGCUAGAUAGAAUUAUCUAGUGGAGGGUAUCUCAGGUAGUGUAGGUAACUCCUGAAAUGCUGACGACUUCUUUUCUGCAAGCUGCCAAGAGACAGAUUUGUCCAAUGAGUUGACUAGCUCAUGAAUUUUACUGUAGACUUGUCUUUGCAAGUUGCAUUUAAACAAUUUUAUCUGGUGAGUUGAAUAACUCAAAAAGUUUUUGCAGACUUGUUGUUCCAAGAUGCAUGUAGGCAAUUUUGCCCAAUGGUGAGUUUAGCUUGGGAAGUCCCGUGGUGUCUUGGAUAUGCUUGAGGACCAUAUCGCCUAUAUUGAACGAACAUUCCUUGAUGUUGUGAUCAUGAUAGCGGCAGAUUCCUUCAACGUACCUUGCUGACUGGACGAGUGCUGCACAGCGAGCUUCUUCAAGGCUGUCUAAAUCUAGACGCCUUGUUUCUUCUAUUGCGCCCUCCUCGUACUGCUCGACUACUGAAGAUUUCCACAUGACGUCGGUGGGGAGGACAGCUUCGGAUCCGUAGAGCAGGAAGUAGGGUGAUUGUCCUGUAGGUUUGCAUGACUGGGUACGGAGCUCCCAAAGGAUAUUGGGUAGUUCUUUGAGCCACUUGUCCCUUUCGUGUUUCCAAUAUCAUGCAAUCUUUUCUUGAGAGCUUCUAGUACCAUCCCGCUAGCGCGCUCGACAUGGCCAUUGGCCCGCAGAUGACCAACAGAGAUAUACCAGACAUCGAUCCCGCUAUUCUCGCAAUAUUCCUAAAACUCGUGAUUGUUAAAAUUGGAGCCUAGGUUUGUGAUAAUGCGAUUGGGGAAGCCGUAGCGAUGGAUGAUUUCAUCGAGGAAGUCGAGUACUCUAUCUGCCUUGGGGCAGGUUACUAGCUUCGCUUCGAUCCACUUUGUAAACUUGUCAAUCACCAUAGUACUCGGUUAAAUCCUCCAGGCGCCGUGGGCAGUGGGCCAAUCAUGUUGAUGCCCUAGCAUGCGAAGGGCCAAGAGGAUGGUAUGGUGAUCAACUUGUAGGCAGGGACGUGUUGUUGUUUUGCAAAGAAUUGACAUCCUUGGCAUCGGCGAACUAGUUCUUCGGUGUCAGCAAGAGCUGUAGGCCAAUAAAACGCUACUUUGAAAGCUUUGACCAUGAUCGUACGUGAGUAUGUGUGGUUAUCGCAGAUGCGUUUGUGAAUUUCCUCCAGUAUGUCUUUGCCGUCUUGUCGUGAGAUGCACUUCAUGAGUACUCCGAUGAUGCGCCUCUUCUAUAAAGCUUGUCUCUGACUAGAACAUAGUUCUUGUCGUGCCGUGAGACCUGCUCUGCUUCUGCUUUGUUUGGAGGUAACUUGUGCUCUUUGAGGUAAACGAUGAAAGGAUUUCUCCAGUCUAAGUCGAUCAUCAUAACUUCCCGAUCUGGUGCGUCGUGACCUCGAUUGGUGGUUGUUGAUGGUGUCGGCUCCGUUAUGGAUGGAUUGUCUAGCUCAUGGAUGAAAACCCGUGCUGGAACUUGAGCACGAGUAGAUCCAAGCUUAGAUAGGACGUCCGCGGUAACGUUGUUGUCGCGCACUACAUGGUGGAACUCUUGAUCGGAGAACUUGUUCUCUAGCUUGCGUACUUCCAGGCAGUACGCAUCCAUAUUCUCCUUGUGGUGAUCCCACUCGUCGUUGACUUGAUUGAUUACCAACAGUGAGUCGCCGUAGACCAACAAUCAUUUGAUUCCUAGCGAGAUUGCCAGGCGAAGCCCGUGCAGAAGUGCUUCGUAUUCAGCUUCGUUGUUGGAUAGUUUCUAGAAGAUUUGUAAGACAUAUUUGAGUUGUUCGCCUUUUGGGGAUAGCAAGAUGUAACACCCGCAAAAUCACCAACUAGCCAGUCGCAGCUAAGGUGGGUAAUGGCUUUGUAAGGAUCCGCACCGGCACUAAGGUGAUCGUGCUGCGGUACCCUACUUGUGGGUAAAGUGUACAACCUCUGCAGAGUUAAAACCUAUCCGGGUAGCCGUGUCCACGGCAUUGGACGAGUUACGGCUUGGUCACAUAACUAGCACUUGGGCAUGGUUGUCGCGUGUGUGUGUGCGUGUGUGUUGGAUUUUGGAAGUGUCCGGCAGUUGUGCCGUGUGCUUUGGCGGACGGGGAGUCCGAUAGCGAUAAAACUUGGAUCCUUUGUGUAGGAUCAACCCCACUCCAUGUUUCGGUUACUAAAGAACAGCUUUUCGAAAACUCGUUUGAAAAUAAGCCCAUGCAUAUGUUAAAAAUCUAGCUUUCCCGCAAAUGGACUCUAGCCUUUCCUUGAUAUAUCCUGUGCAUAUAUUUGCUUGUAUCCCCCUCCGUGGAUAGGGUUGGACUUGUUGAGUACGUUCGUACUCACCCUUGCUUCGUUACUACAGAGGAAGACCCGGACAUCAUCGCCGAAGACCUUGAGUAGAGGUUGUGUCCGCACCCAACGCUGCCUUUGGUGUUGGCCUUUCCAAGAUGUUGCUGCUGCCGUGUAGUCCCGAGUGCUGUCUUUUGGCAGUUGCUUGGUUAGCCACCGUUGUUUAUUUACUUCUUAUCGCCGCGUGGCUCUCACGCCCACUCCCUCGGAAGUUGUACGGUAACUAAAUUAUCUGUCGAAUAAAUGUGCUAUCAGCCUCCUAGGACUGAUAUUUGUAUCACAUUUAGUCUCUACUUAUGUGGGGACGCUUUAGGUGGUAUUAGAAUCGUCGUUGGCUAUAGGACGCGACCUUAGGACCGGAUUAGACCUUUUUGACCAAAAUAAAAGGUUUACAAAAUUUCUGCCUACCUCUGCUCUAUUACAAAACUAAUUUGUGCCUCGGAUCUUUUCCGGAUGGCCGAAGAAGGAUGGGUUAACAGCCACUGCCUGGAGGAGCCAGGUUUUCCCAGAUUGCUGUUCGCCUGCAUGGACCGCCUCGGAAUUUACGAGUGUCCGGAGUACACCAGCAGGGAGUACGAGGAUCGCGGAACCCCUCGAUGUGAGAUGAUUAUCUACAUCGGGCGGAGUAGCCGCUACCCCGACAUCCAGCCUUGGAAUGUGACUGCCACCGGCUUCCGGCACAAGGAUACUUAUCAAGUGGCAUCUCGGAAGGCCCUCCAGUUCCUAUGCCAGAUCUACGAGAGGCACAUCGGCCGCACUCCGAUGAGGUUCUACCCGCCUGUCAAGAAGCCGCCCGGUAUGGCUGGCCCGUGUGAGAACUUUGGAAGGACGUGGACAGCGCAAGGACGACCCCACUGUUGAAGCAGGCUGCUCGUAGGGCGACGAGCAGGCUGCUAAGUUGAAGCAGCAGACUCGUAGGGCUGAGGACGCAGAGGUUAUGGUGAGGAGGCUUCAGGUGAAGUUAGCCGCCACCGAAGCUCGAGCCGCAGCCGCCCAAAGCAACGAGGCCAUUGCCGUUGAGGCUCUCAAGGAGGCUGAGGAUCGGCACUCCAAGGAAUUGAAGGAUGCCCACCUCACCAUUCGUGCCAGAAGGAGGAUGGUAGCCAUCGAGGACGAAGAGGUCCUGAUCCUUGAAGGAGUUCCCAUCGCCCCAGGGUCCAGUAAACGGAAGAGCCCAGAUGCCACCCCAGCGCCACCGCCUUCGGAAAGGAACUCCGAGGUGUCGGAUGGAGAGGCGCCAGAAUCCCCUCCAGCGGGCGGGACUCUAAAGGAUGAAGUGUUGGCCCUCCUCAUCCCGUUAGAAGACCACUCAGUCCAGGGAGAAGACUCACCCCGCGAGUAAUAUGCCCAGCCCAGAGUUGCCCCAGGGAAUGAAGCCGUCAUGGUCCACAGUUUAGAGUUGUACCCCCUCCAGUUGUGUUAUUGUAACCGGUCGUGUAGUACGUGUUUUGGCCUUACCCUAGAAGUGUUGUACCCCCCUGGCAAAUUAAAUAAAAUCGCUUGUGUUUGUUGCUUGUUAGUCUGUGUGUUCGUCGACAGAAGGUGGAUUCUGUCUCUUCGAAAAUACGAAAUAACCAUUUUAAAGAUCACUAAAAUCCAAAUCCUACUCUCAUAAAAUCUCACUCAAUCUGCAGAUGCCGCCCAAGUGUGCCACCAGGACUUCCCCAAGUCAGGCCCAUGCCACCCCCAGUGCUGAGAGGCAGCCAGAAAGGCAAGAACCGCCUCCGGCAGUACUUCCUGAGGAGCAGGAAGUUAGCCAGCCAGAAGGAAGGGGAGAAAGCCAAGUGGGUACGCAGCAGCCACCGCCCCUACCAGUUAUUAAUCUGGUUCAAGUGAUGAACAACUAGACCCUUCUGCUGGAAGCUCUGGCCAACGCCAUUACCCGCCAGAGGCCCCGUGGGCAGAACAUGAAUGAGAAGUUGACGGACUUCCUCCGGACUAAGCCACCCACUUUUGGCGGGUCCGUCAACCCUCUGGAUGCCGAUGAUUGGCUGCGCGUCAUCCAGAGGAAGCUGGAACCAUUUGGUUGCGAGGGCAGGGACAAAGUUCUCUUGGCUGCCCACCAGCUCACUGGGACUGCCCUAGCCUGGUGGGAGAACUACUGCUCUGCCGCCUAGGAUGCCUCCACUAUCACCUGGGAUGAGUUCGUGAUAGAAUUCCGUCGCUACCAUAUCCCCGCAGCCACCAUGAAGCGCAAGGCGGAUGAGUUCCGCGAACUCCGCCAAGGCAACAGAUCUGUGGAAGAGUACACCUUCCAGUUCAUGGAGCUAGCUCGUUAUGCUCCAAAGGAAGUGGACAAGGAUGAGAAGAAGCAGGACAUGUUAAAGAAGGGCUUGAACGCGGAACUGAGGACCCUGCUCACUCCCCAGAUCUACCCCGACUUCAACACCUUGAUGAACAUGGCCAUCUUGAAUGAGAGGGCCAAGGCAGAAGAACGGAGGGACAACAAGCGCCGGUUCCUGGAGAGCAAGACGCACCAGCAGGACCGAUUCUAGAAGCCAAGGAGCUACGGUCACCCCUUGCCCAGAUCCCAAGCUUCCAUGCAUUACCAGACCCAGUCCCAAGCACCCGGUUCGCACCAGACCGCUGCCCUGUUCAGGAGCCAGAACCCUGCCAAGGCCCCACAGAGCAGCGCCAGCCAAGUCACCGGCAACAGCAGGGCAUGCUUCAACUGCAGAGAGCCAAGGCAUUUCAUCGCCAACUGCCAUUAUGCCAACAAGCCAGCAGCAUCGGCCUUCUCCAACUCAGUAGCUGGGCCCAGGGCCGCAUUGUCAGGAGCCAACCGUGUCCCAGUCCGCAGCAACAACAACCCCAGCAACAACAACAGCCAGCAGAUGAGGCCGCCCCAGCAAUCAUUUGGACAAGCCCGCGUCAACCACAUCGGCGCGCAAGAGGCUCGUGAAGCUCAGGGCAUGGUACUCGGUGAGUUUCUAGUCAGCUCAGUCUUGGCAACAGUACUUUUUGACUCUGGAGCAUCACAUUCCUUCAUAUCCUCAAGUUUUGUGGAAGAACACCAUAUACCCAUAGUACUACUAAAGUUACCCCUAUUAACCCGGACUCCUAGAGCCGACAUUCAGUGUCGACUAGGUUGUUCCCGGGUAAGGAUUAAUUUAAGUGGGGUAAAAUUUCUAGCGGAUCUAGUGGUACUUAAGUCUAAGGGGAUAGAUGUGAUUCUUGGAAUGGACUGGUUGAGUUUGCAUGACGGUCAUAUAGGGUGUGCCGAUAAGGUAGUGCACCUGACCAAUUGGGAUGGUGUGCAAGUGACCUGUCACACUCGAGGAAGUGGCCCAGACCCCAUGGUGUUUAGCAUGGAGACCAAGAUCAUAGAAGAAGUCCCGAUAGUAAGUGAAUACCCGGAUGUCUUUCCCGAGGAACUACCUGGAAUGCCCCCGGAUAUGGACAUAGAGUUCGUAAUUGGCCUUGUCCCCGGAACCUCUCCUAUAGCCAAGAGACCCUAUAGGAUGGCAGCCUCAGAGUUAACCGAACUGAAGAAACAGUUGGGAGAAUUGCAGCAGAGUGGCUUUAUUAGGCCUAGCUCAUCCCCGUGGGGAGCCCCCGUACUUUUUGUCAAGAAUAAAGAUGAGAGUAUGAGGAUGUGCGUAGAUUAUCGCGCACUGAAUGAGGUCACCAUUAAGAACAAAUACUCCCUCCCCAGAAUAGAUGAUCUAUUCGACCAGCUGAAAGGAUCCAAGUAUUUCUCUAAGAUAGAUCUGAGGUCAGGGUACCAUCAACUCAAGAUCAAGGAGAGCGACAUCCCGAAGACGGCCUUUGUCACCCGUUAUGGUCAAUUUGAGUUUACAGUGAUGUCUUUUGGAUUGACCAAUGCACCUUCUUAUUUCAUGAACCUCAUGAACAAGGUGUUUAUGGACGAGUUACAUAAGUUUGUCGUAGUCUUUAUUGACGACAUACUUAUUUACUCCAAGAGUGUUCAGGAGCAUGAACACCAUAUACGGGUGGUGUUAGAAAAAUUGAGAGCCCGCCAACUCUAUGCUAAAUUCAGCAAGUGUGAAUUUUGGCUUGAGAAAGUGGCAUUCCUUGGUCAUAUCCUGACCGCGGAAGGAGUCGCAGUUGAUCCUGAGAAAGUUGAAGCCAUCUCCAACUUGCAGCAACCCACCAAUGUUAGUGAAAUCAGGAGUUUUCUUGGUUUAGCUGGGUAUUACCGGAGAUUUAUUAAGGGAUUUUCCAAGAUAGCCCGGCCCAUGACAGAGCUGCUUAGGAAGGAUAAGAAGUUCACCUGGACCGAGUCAUGUGAGCGGAGCUUCCAAGAGCUGAAGAACAGGUUGACGACAGCCCCAGUAUUAACCUUACCUGAUAUCCAGCGAGACUUCGUCAUCUACUGUGAUGCAUCCCGACAAGGAUUAGGAUGUGUCCUCAUGCAGGAUGGGAAGGUUGUGGCAUAUGCUUCCCGUCAACUUAAGCCCCAUGAGCAGAACUACCCAACCCAUGACUUAGAGUUUGCAGCCGUAGGGCAUGCCCUCAAGAUCUGGAGACAUUAUCUGAUUGGGAAUAAGUGUGAAAUAUACACCGACCAUAAGAGACUAAAAUACAUUUUCACCCAGCCCGAUCUGAAUUUAAGGCAAAGGAGGUGGUUAGAACUUGUAAAGGACUACAACCUAGAAAUCCACUACCACCCCGGCAAAGCUAAUGUUGUGGCCGACGCCUUAAGCCGGAAAUCCUAUGGACCGCCCGGACCCGAGAAUGCCCGCCGACAAGAGGAAAUAGCCCGGUUAAAUGUGCACAUAGUUCCCCAGAAUGCUAGCCGCAAGCUAAGUGUUCAGCCCACCUUGGAGGAUAAAAUCCGAGAAGCCCAGGGUUCAGAUAAGGACUUAGUAAAAAUCCGCAAGCAGACCGGAGAAAAUAAAUCCCCGGAUUUCAGGGUGGACGACAAAGGAACCCUGUGGUACAAGGAAAGAAUUUGUGUCCCCAAGGAUGAAGAGUUCAGGCAGACCAUCAUGAAUGAAGCCCAUAACUCGGCAUACUCCAUCCACCCCGAAUCCACCAAGAUGUACAUGGACUUAAAGAAGAAAUACUGGUGGAAUGGAAUGAAGGCUGACAUAGCUCAGUUUGUCGCCCAUUGUAAUAUUUGCCAAAGGGUCAAGGCUGAGCACCAGAAGCCAGCCGGCUUGCUGCAACAAUUGCCUAUCCCGAUUUGGAAGUGGGAUGAGAUCGGCAUGGAUUUUGUAGUAGGCCUGCCCAGAACUCAAAAGGGAAAUGACUCCAUAUGGGUAAUAGUGGACCAACUCACUAAAGUCGCUCACUACCUACCCGUACGGACCACUUACGGUGGAGAACGACUAGCCCGACUCUACAUCGACAACAUAGUGAAGCUGCAUGGUGUGCCCAGCCGGAUCAUCUCAGAUAGAGGAACUCAGCUCACCUCUAGGUUUUGGAGAAGUUUGCAUAAAGCCAUGGGUACCAAAUUGGACUUUUGUUCAGCCUAUCACCCCCAGACCGAUGGCCAAACCGAGCGAGUCAACCAAAUCAUGGAAGACAUGCUGAGAGCGUGUGUCCUCACCUAUGGCAAAGAUUGGGAACAAAGUUUAACCUAUGCAGAGUUCUCAUACAACAAUAGCUACCAAGCCAGUCUAGGCAUGUCACCAUUUGAGGCCCUUUAUGGUAGAAAGUGCCGGACCCCUUUGAUGUGGUCAGAAGUAGGAGAACGCUCCCUAGUCGGACCAACUUUCAUCAAGGAAGCAGAAGAUCGUGUGGCAGAAAUCCGAGAAAAGCUGAAGGCCGCACAAUCCAGCCAGAAAAGCUACUCGGACAAGAGGAGACGGGAAUUAUGCUUCAAUGAGGGAGAUUUUGUCUACCUCAAGGUCUCCCCAAUUCGGGGUACCAGAAGGUUUCAGGUACAAGAAAAACUGGCACCUCGGUAUAUUGGACCUUACAAGGUGUUAAAAAGAGUUGGAGCCGUAGCUUACCGUAUCCAACUGCCUGAGGAAAUGUCGGAUAUACACCCGAUAUUUCAUGUCUCCCAGCUGAGAAAAUGUUUGAGAGUACCGGAGGAACAAGUACGGGUGGAGACAAUAGACCUACAAAAGGACCUUCGGUAUCAAGAAGUGCCUGUCAAGAUUUUGGACACCAUCACCAGAAGGACAAGAAAUACAGCAGUCCGGAUUUGCAGAGUACAAUGGAGUAGACAUGGUGAAGAAGAGGCCACGUGGGAACACGAGGACGCGUUAAAGAAGGAAUUUCCCCACCUUUUCAGGACUCAGUCGAAUCUCGAGGAUGAGAUUCAAUUUAAGUGGGGUAGGUUUGUAACACCCGCAAAAUCACCAACUAAAAUCACCCGUUAAAAAUUGCUUUUAAAAUCUUUUACCGCAGAGCUCCCGGAAAUCUAAAAUCUUCCCGACGAUUUCGCCGUCCCGGCACCUAAGCCGAGAGCCAUCAUCUUUACCCGUGCCCGUAUUUUCCGCAGCGUGCCGUCGUCAGACGCCGCGCGCGUGCUCCGACCGCGUGUCGCGAACGCCGCCGGUCUCUCUCUUUUUCUUUCUCUUUUUCCCCUCCCUUUUCCUUUUUUUUCUUUUUCCUUUCUUCCUCCUUCUUCUUUCUUCUUCCUCCUUCCUUCUUCUCUCUCCUCCUCUUUCUUCUUCCUAGCGCCCACACAACCGGCCCCAGCUCCUUAACUCCCCCCGGAGCCACCUCUACUGGCGCCACGCCGCUCGGCCUCCGCGCGCUUGGGGCCCGCCGCCCGGCCCGGUGCCGACCACGCCGCCCCCUCCCUCGGGCCGCGCGCCCGACGCGGCCCUCGAUCGCCUGCACCGCCGCUCCGGCGUCCGGUCGCCUCGGCCCCACGCGCGCCCCUCCUACGCCGUCCCGCGUCAGGCCCCGCCACCGGCCCCGCUCCGCGCCGCCCCGCCGGCCCCUACCUCCCCUCCGGCGCCGCCGCACGCCACCGGUACCGUGCCGACCGAGCCAUCCCGCCGGCCACCGCCCAGUCCCCUACCGCCGGCCACCAUUGCCGGCUUAUAAAAGGGGGUCACCGCCCGGCUCCUCUCCCCACCCAUCCACACGCCGCCCUGCUCCUUCCCUCGCCAAGCACCGCCGCCGCCCGUGCGCCGCUCCUCCCGUGCGCCGCCGCCACCCGAGCCAUCGCCGGCCGCCCCAUUCCCAUCUCCACUCCCCAAGGUAAGGGGGAAAAUGGAGCCCCAUCCCCUUCCUCCACCUCCUCCGCCCACGGCAGCCGCCGGUAAGGCCGGCCGGCCAGCCGCCGUCGCCCCCCACUCCUCCCCAAUCUCCAAGCCGGCCCAAGAAAGAAGAAGGGGACAGAUUCCCCAAACUUCCGAUCUAACCCCCUCUUUCUUCCUAUUCGCAAACGAGUCCCUCCACCACUCUCGAGAGAUUCUCGCAGAUUAGCCCCUCUACUCCUGAAAAUAUUUACAAAUAGGUCCCUGGUUCCUCGCAAAUCAGUCCUAAACCUCCUUUUUAAGCCCCUAAUCCAUGCUUAACUCGUCAUUUCAUGCGUCAAACUUCCCCCAAUUAAUCCCAAAUUCGAUCCAUAUCCAAAUUACCCAAAAAUAACCUUUCUACCUAUUUUUCGUUCACGUUUUCUGUUCGGAGCUCACGGUUAAAAACCGCUUUCCUUUUAUUUAUUUGUGUGUCCGUUUGUGUGUUCCGUAGAUCACGGUUUACCCGAGGAGGAGCCCGAGGAGGAGUUUGACCGAGAGCCCGAGCCCGAGGACCAGCAUCACGAGCCGGAACUCCCGGAAGGCUUUGAAGACGGCAAGUUCAAUCUCAACCUUUGAUGCAUACUUAAUACCCUAGUUUUUCAAACACAACCUAUUGGCCUAUUUUAUAAAAUGCAUAUAAUUUAUUUUAUUGCAAGACAUGGUUGGAUAGCCACCCCUUGAUUGUUAUGAACAUUCUUUGUUAUCCUAUGGUUGUCUCUAAAUAUGACCCGCUCUAUUUAGUCGAUAACCACCGCUAGAAUGCUUAGGAAAUUGCUACUCGACUACAAUCAUUAUUACAAUGGUUUACUUGGAAAAUAAGUGUGUGUGUGUGUGUUCAAUUGGGAAGAUGGUUUUCCGGGUUCGACGGAAAGGGGUGUGUAGACGAGAUGGAUGGGUGUUUCUUGUGUGAAAUGACAGGAUGUUGUGCUCGUACCUUGGUGGUUGAGCGAUGUCGGGAGAUAUCCAUCUUGUCAUCGUUAAGGACCGAGUUGAUGUGUCAUCUUGCCUAAUUCCACCAUCGUGCAACCACUCGACCGUUGUACGGGCAACGGCUUAGCAUAAAGCCCACUAGCUAAACUAUUAGUCCUCAGGGGUGCUGGUGAGCAACGGAGCCCAUGGAAAGGGAGUAAGAUCUUGGUGACUUAGGUCCCGGUUACAGUCUCGGUGAUGAGCCGUGAACCCCUUGGGGUGCUUCCGUGAGGACUAGCCAGUCGCAACUAAGGUGGGUAAUGGCUUUGUAAGGAUCCGCACCAGCACUAAGGUGAUCGUGCUGCGGUACCCUACUUGUGGGUAAAGUGUACAACCUUUGCAGAGUUAAAACCUAUCCGGGUAGCCGUGUCCAUGGCAUUGGACGAGUUAUGGCUUGGUCACAUAACUAGCACUUGGGCAUGGUUGUCGCGUGUGUGUGUGCGUGUGUGUUGGAUUUUGGAAGUGUCCGGCAGUUGUGCCGUGUGCUAUGGCGGACGAGGAGUCCAAUAGCGAUAAAACUUGGAUCCUUUGUGUAGGAUCAACCCCACUCCAUGUUUCGGUUACUAAAGAACAGCUUUUCGAAAACUCGUUUGAAAAUAAGCCCAUGCAUGUGUUAAAAAUCUAGCUUUCCCGCAAAUGGACUCUAGCCUUUCCUUGAUAUAUCCUAUGCAUAUAUUUGCUUGUAUCCCCCUCCGUGGAUGGGGUUGGACUUGUUGAGUACGUUCGUACUCACCCUUGCUUCAUUACUACAGAGGAAGACCUGGACUUCAUCGCCGAAGACCUUGAGUAGAGGUUGUGUCCGCACCCAACGCUGCCUGUGGUGUUGGUCUUUCCAAGAUGCUGCUGCUGCCGUGUAGUCCCGAGUGCUAUCUUUUGGCAGUCGCUUGGUUAGCCGCCGUUGUUUAUUUACUUCUUAUCGCUGCGUGGCUCUCACGCCCACUCCCUCGGGAGUUGUACGGUAACUGAAUUAUCUGUCGAAUAAAUGUGUUAUCAGCCUCCUGGGACUGAUAUUUGUAUCACAUUUAGUCUCUACUUAUGUGAGGACGCUUCACAAGAGUACUCCUGCGCCGACGCCCUCGAGCUUGAGUGAUCCAUCAAAAUACAUAACCCAAUGCUCUGGACGCUUUGCUGGCAUUGAUAGUUGGUUUCCCGCCCAUUCUACCAUGAAAUCGACUAGUGACUGGGACUUGAUCGCAGUCCUUGACUUCAAUUCCCGAGACAAUGCUCCGAGUAUGGAUGGCAACGGGCACAUAACCCACGGGCAGAGGUAUUACAGACCUGCACCCGCGAGGCAAACCCUGUACCCGUGCCCGCACCCGCCGCCCGUCAUGGGCAAAAAGUUGUGCUCGCGCCCGUCACCCACAGGCACAGUCUACCCGCGGGCACACCCGUGCCCGCUAGGCAACCAGCAACCAGAGCCCGCAAGGCGACCGCGAUGGCGCGGAAGGUCGGAUCGGGAGCUCGGGCGCGUGGUGGAACCGAACGGUUGGAUUUGGGGAACAACAGCAGCAGUAGGCUAAGGGGAAGGCGUAGCGGGCGGUGGAGAGGUAACGGCGGGGAGGUGGACGGGCAGAGAGGUGGCGGCGGGGAGCGAGGGCAGGUGGCGACCGACGGCAAGCGAGGGUGGGCGGUGUGGAUCAAGGGCGGGCGACGACAGAUGCGAGGUGAUGGCGGAGGUCGACGGUGGCGCGGAUGAGGAGGGGAUGGAGGUUGACUGUGCGGGCUGUGGGAGGGGCGGCCAGCAACGAGCGCGGAGGACGCGGUGGUGAGGCCGGCCGGCGGCAAGCGCAAGGGUGUGGCGUGGAGGCCACCAGCGGUCGGUGCCAGGGGAGCGGCCUCGUCGGGCAGGAGCCUGCGAUGGUGCGAUGGGAGGACAGAAGGAGACCGUAUAAGGUGGAGGAGAUAAUGUUGGAAAGUGAUGAAAAAUUCUAUUAAUAAAAACAAGUCCACAUGUCAGACGGGUUCGGGGGUUUGCGGGCACGGAUAAGAUAUUUUUAUGCCCGCUAAUUUUUUACCCGUGGGCACAAACUCAAACGCGCAGCCGUGCCCGUGGGCAUAAAAUAGAACCCAUAUCCUCACCCUACCAGGAUUUUACCCGCGAACACAUGAGUAAUUUGUACCCAUUGCCAUCCAUAGCUUCGAUUUCUACUGCCCACUUAGAUAUUGCUUCCGUUGCAUCCCGGUUGUGGAGAAUUUCCCUCAGUGGGAAGUCUGUGAUGACGGAGAUGUUGUGCUCUUGGAAGUAGUGUCGUAGCUUCCGCGACAUGAGUAGUAUUGCGUAUAGCAAUUUCUGCACUAGUGGGUAUCUGGCUUUGGAGUCUGACAACACCUCGCUGACGAAGUAGACGAUACUCUGUACUAUGUAUACAUGGCCUGGUUCUGAUCUUUCAACCACGAUCAUUGUGCUGACGACGUUACUAGUCGCAGGGAUGUAAAGCAGCAAGUCCUCAUUGGGGUUUGGCGCAGUGAGGACCAGUGACUUUGAUAGGAAGUCUUUUAAUUGUUGCAGGGCUUGAUCUGCCUCAUCGGUCCACUGAAAUUUGUCUUACCGCUUCAGUAGUUUGAAGAAGGGUAGGCCCCAUUCUCCAAGUCUUGAAAUGAAUCUGGUGAGGGCCUCCAUGCAUCCCGUUAGCUUUUAGACGUCCUUGAUGCAUGAUGGGGCAUGCAUGUCGGUGAUGGCAGAGAUCUUCUUGGGGUUAGCUUCAAUUCGUUGGUGACUAAUGAUGAACUCGAAUAGUUUUCCGGAGGGUACGCCAAAGACGCACUUUGUUGGAAUUGAGCUUCCAUCAGAAUUCAUGUAAGCUUGCGAAAUUUUCUACCAAAUCCGCAAUUAGGUCAUCAGGAUUUAUGUUCUUUACAACCACGUCGUCCACGUACGCCUCUACAUUACGGUGUAGCUAUUUCUUGAAGCACUCUUGGAUUGCACAUUGAUAGGUAGCGCCUGCGUUCUUUAACACAAAGAACAUUGUUGUGUAGCAGAAAGCUCCGUUUGGGGUGAUGAACGCAAUUUUGAUUUGGUCUUCUUCCUUGAGAUCUAUAUGGUGAUACCCCGAGUAGCAAUCGAGAAAACAGAGUAGGGCGCAUCCAGCUGUCAAGUCGAUAACUUGAUCAAUCCUGGGGAGCCUAAAGGGAUCCCAACACAUCCUCCACUCGUUGUUAUUUUUCUUUCACACCAGGAUAGAAUUAGCGAGCCACUCUAGGAUCUUGAGCCUUGAGCUAGCGAUAACUAGGUCAAGGAUGACAGCAUAUCGUCCUGGGUCUGAGAAACUAGUCCAUCGGUCCUUCCUAGAGAAGGUAAUUGGUACCUCGGACCAUUUGAGGAACGUUGGUGUUGCAGGUUCAAUGGACAUGAUCUCUCGAAGGGCGAGCUUCUAGGACCGCUUAGUAGCAGUACAUGGUGUGCCGCCAAAGAUGACGUUGAUGUUGGAUGGUUUCUGGAAUUUGCUGUUGUCACCAUCGUCUUCGUCUUCCUUAGCCUUGACCUUGUCUUUAGUGCCAAAUGGUUCCGGCAGGUCCUUUAUGACUCUACGUAGGCUAAAGCAAUCUAUCGUAGAGUGCUUGUGGUAUAGGUGGUAUGGGCACUGCUUCUUCAGAAGUUCACUAAAUGGGAUCCUAUCUUGAUUCCUGCCGCCACCUUUCUUGGAUGACUGUGACAUUGCCGUGAUAAUAUUGUCUGGCUUUUGCUUGCGGUUCUGACCACCUAAGUAAUUAUUUCGGUUGUCAAUGUUAGGGUGAUCGUUGCGGUUCUUAUCAUUGCGUUGGCCAUUGUUCUAAUUAUUAUUGUUCUGGCUCUUGUUGUGAUUAGAUUUGAAUGUCUUGAUCUCCAUAUCUUCUUCAUCUGCCCACGUCUGUACCAUGAUUUUGAGAGACCUGACAUCAGCGGGGCAUCUUCUGCCGAAGUCCUGGAACAUCCGGCUGUCGUACAGGCCAUUCUGGAAGCAGUCUAUAACGUCACGCUCCGUGAUGUCCAUGAUUGUAGAUUUUUGUCGAAGAAGCAACGUAAGUAACUUCGCAGGGUCUCGCCUUCUUGUUGUUUAACUUAAGACAAGUCGAUUCUGUUGUCAGGACGCUGCAUUGCCCCUGCAUAGUUGUUGGUGAACGCCACCUUGAGGUCCUUCCAUGAAUCGAUGGAGUUUUUAUCCAAUGAUUCGAGUCAUGUGAGUGGUGCCGCCUCCAUGCAGAUGGGGAAGUAGAUGACCUUGGUGUCUUCGUUCCCCCCUGCUGCUUGGACUGAUAGCGAGUAGCACCGCAGCCAUUGCACUGGGUCCUACUUUUCAUCAUAUUUGAUGAUACCCGGAGGUUUGAAGUUUUUGGGUAGACUUGUCCUCCUCACGUGUCUUGAGCAGGCGGGGAACACGUCAGAAUCGUCUCCUGAGUACUCGACUUCUCGCUCGCGCUCGCGGCACUGUCCGUCGAUGAUGGUACGGGCAUCAUGGCCGACGUUGAUCUUGUUUCGAAGAUCUUCUACUAGAUGUUCAAGCUCAAGGUUGGGCCCACGGUCACCACGGCCUUCCGAGGGUUCUGCCCGACUACCCUCUUCUCCAGCUUGGCUUGGUCUGGCGUCUCCAAUUUGGUCUGGUCUAAACGGAGCGUCUCUAUGGCUGGUGCCAUGUUGACUACACUGGAAUGGGGAACGUUGAACUGACUGUAUCGGGUUUUGCUGAUUGAUUUGUUCGUACACGCGCUCUGCCAGUUCAGCCAACUGUCGAGUGUACUUGUCCUGCGGCAUUGCGCGGGUGAUGAGAUCCAUGGAUGCGAUGGUAGCAAGAGGAGUACGAUGCUGACGCGAUUGAACUGCUUCGAACGCGUUAUCCAGGUUCAUGAUUGGUAGGUUUGCUGCAAGACGGUGGCGACGCUAUGCUCUUGUAGUGUUUUUGCUCGUCGUCAAGUUCUUUGAGCUUCAGUCACUUCUCCAUCAACGUGGUAGUAAGUUCAUCCUACAAGACAUCAUCCGGGUGACGUUCAUGCUGUGGAAUUCUGUUCGAUUGCUCUUCUUCUUUGCCGCCCUCUUGUCCAGCAAUGAGAGCAAAGAGUUCUCAUUCUGGAGAGUAGCUUCCCGAGUUUGAAGUUAUGACCUUUGUGGUGCCGCCUUCCUCGUGGAUGGGCGAUAGAGGAGCUCCUGGUACGGGAGGGUGUCGAGGUAGGUAAUAAGGCAUGAAUCAUCGUCCUUGGUGAGAGCAGGUGGCUUCAUGUUGGGCUAGUAGACGAAUCUACCUUGGGGAGUCAAUGUGAUCACCAGGCCCUUCUGCGGAUCAGAUAAAGGAGUCUCUUCGUUCGGGUCUGAGCAAUAGUCGAGAUCCUCGAUCGUAUCCAUAUCGGAUUGUGAUCUGGACAAGACUGCCUGAUAAGCAGUGGUCACAUUGCGGAGUCCGAACGGGAAUCAACUCGGGUUGUAGUCUGAUUUGCAUGAUGGCGUAUGCGCUCGCUCGUGAAAGUCAAUCCCACUGGCGGGACAAGUCAAGUUGUACUCGGACUCGUCCCCCAGCCUUUGACUAAGUCAGAAAUUGAAAAUUCGUCAAAAUUUUUGACGAGAUUCUCCAGAGUUUGACGCUGAGUUUGAAGGUUUGCUGCUUCUUCUCCGGAGUUGUCGCCUAUGCGGCGGCAAAAAUUUCCAGUGCCGUCCGCGACGCAAACUCAAGAGCCGAAGAUGAACGUCGCGCCUACUUCAAAUACGAUGAUUGGCUUGAUAAUAACUUAUGCCAUUGAGUUCGCAAGUCGAUUCUCGGCGAGAGCCCCUAAGUGGCGCGUCAGCUGUCGAUGUUUAGACCCGGCAACCUAUCGACGGGAUGCCUAAGGUAGUGUUUGGUUUGUGAAGCCUGCCGAGAUCAGGAACUCAAAUGUGAACAUAGACACACAAUUCAGAUAAGUUCGGGCUGCUAGAUUGCGUAAUACUCUACGUCCUGUGUGUUAGUUGGAUUGUGUUGGUUGGAUUGAAUUGCUUCGGAGGGGGUCCCUACCUCUCUUUAUAUUGCUUGGGUAGGGUUACAGAUCGGUUAUUUUACGAGAAUAUUUUACGAGAAUACUAGGUAAGUCCUACUCUGAAUACUACGAGUAGUUUUCCUCCUCAUCCUCGAUUAGUUCCCGUCUUGCCACGUAGACUACACCGUCCUGCGACAUAGUCUCCAUGUCAGAUACGUCUCGGUGUCCAUUUCUGUACGUAAGACUGUCCAAACCUUCAUGUGAGCCCAUACAUGUAUAUACGAUGGCCCUAAAUCACCAUAUUAGACUACAUCACCAUAUUAGACACGAACACAGAAAAGAAAAAUUGCUGCCCUGCAGCAUGCCAAAAUAGUUGACAAAACAAGAAACGAAUAUAAUCCAACAAAAUAUCUUGUGCAACAUCUUGAUUUGUCGGAUUUAACAUAUCUGAUCUCCUUUUUGCGACACUUGAAAAACACCAAUCGGGACAUCCUAAAUUAAUACAGCAACAUCGGGAAAUAUCAAUCACAAAGUGACAUCCCAAAAUCACCUUUGCAGCUUUACCAUCCGGCUCCUUGCCACCUAAAUCAAUCGUUGUCGCUGGGAUAGAUCUUCUACCUGCCAGAAGUGAUGAUAGGCAAUUGACAUCGAGCUCUUUGUUGCCUUACUGAAGGGAUCGAGCUCUUCUUCGUUGUGCCACAAAGGAUCGAACUUCCCAUCACCUAGAUCGACACCUUGCUGCUGGACAACUUGAAUCGGCACUCCAAUCAAGUCACUCGAACCACCGCCAUCUGAGGCUGCGGACAUGAGCACGAGUGUGCGAGGCCCUCACUGUGCCGCCAAGUUACUGGAUGAAUCACCAGCGGAGCCUCCGCGCGAGGAUGCCGAGGCUUCGUGGAGAUGAAGGAGCUGGAUGAAUAGAUAAGGUUUGGAGUAAAAGGAUAAGAAGCUGUGGUAAAAUAAAGGGAGGGUGUUAUUUGGUGGGAGGCUGGCUGACCCGCACGUGACGCGCGUCCCGUGAUAUUUCCACGACGCGUUGGAUGGUAGGUAGUAGCAUUACCGUUUCUUUUAACAAGCAAGCGUGUCCUUAUUAUCUUGCUUUUCUUUUUCCCUGGAUAGAAAUUAUAUUAAAGGACUGUCUAUCUGUUGCAUAUUUGUGCUAGCCAAAUCUGUUGAAAUUUUGACAAAUCAGCAGCUGGCUCGUAAGCACCAAAAAGUAAACAGAUUUCAAUGACAAACAUAUGUCAGGUUUUACUAAUAGGCUUUUGAACAAACAGGUACUGCAAUAUCCAAAUCUGAUAAUAAAGAACAAUUGGCGCCAACUUGAAACAUUCAUUAUCCUUUUAAUUGUUCCGAUAGCAAAAUUUGAAAGCAAGAACACAUAUUUGAGUUCAAAGGAACACAGUUUACAUUGAUAAAUACAUUAUAACAAGCAUAAAUGAUAACUGUAAGAAAAAAAUUAAACACAAGCAUUGGGACAUAAUUUACAUUGAUAAAAACACUACGCUAAACACAAAUGAUAAAUGUAAAUUGACGGGCGUGGACGCAGCUUCGCCUCAAGCGCAGCCAUGUGCGGCAAAGCAAAGAAUUAAGAUCUCUAUAAGGGGCACCAAGCUGUCUGGAUCUAGAAAAGAACACAAACUGGUGCAUUGUAGAGGGGUAUAGAUAUAGAUACACUUUGAGCAUAACAACCCUCUUAGAGCAUCACAACAAUGCCAUAUCAGCUCUCUAUAUUAGUUUCACGUAACUUUUAUCCGACAUGGAAGAGAAAGAAACAAGGAGAAAAGGUUGUCGAUGUAUUACCGCUAAUAUCUUGCUUAUAAUUUCAUAUCAGUGGACGGCUGCUCAUGACCCAUCUGCCGAGAUAAACUAACACUAGUGGAUCGGUUUUUGAAUUUCCCAAGGAUAAAGAUACGAUCGAAUAUGCAUCUCGUUGACAUGUGAGAUGGGCAAAAAAUCUGCAAACUCGAGGAGCACGAGCAGAGCUUCGUAAGCAACAGCGCAAAACUGACGGACGGGAGUCGGCCAGUAUCUUGCUGGCACAGUAGCCGAGCCAGGGAGCUCGGGAGAUCCGGGGCUGGAAUAGGAUCCAGCGACUCCAAGGGCCCAGGCUCCGCGCUGUACCCUUGCGGCCUUGCCGGCUAUCUGCCGCGAGCCACCGCCAGGUUCUCUCUCCAACGCCGCCGAUACCCACACGCCCCCGGCCACCGCCAUCGGAAUCCUGAAAUCCCACACGAUGACAGAGCUCUAAGGGCCGUUCACAGGCCGCUGUGCAAAUGGCCCUUAUUGGGUUUUUUCGUCCUCAAUUAUGGGCCUCUCUAGUUGCGGCCUCAUAAUAUCUCUCGUUACAGACGAGCCCACGUCCGAUGGGUCAUUCCAUUUCCAUGGCCUUCACGAGCUACUAGGAAGGGAGGCGCGCCCGCUCCUGGGAGGCGCACCGUUACGCUGUAUUAACCCUGUGGCAUGAGGACCGUACACUGCUUCGUUGGUGCAUUUGUUUGCCACGAUGUUAUAUGAAUUUCACCACCCAGAAAUGUUCAACGUGUGACAAUAAUGCUGGGUACUUAGCAAGUUGGAAACAGUGGUUGACAAUCGACAUCAAUACAGCCAUUCAAUACAGGUAGUGUUGUAGCAAAGGUCACGCAGAUCUUAGGCUCCCUUUGGUUGAGCUUUCCAACCUGCUUUUGCUUUUGCAAAAGUCAAAAGCCAACCAAAGGGUUCCAAAACCAUUGAUGCUUUUGCUCAAAAGCAGCUUUUAUAGUAGUACAAAUCCAAAAGCACCUCUCCCCCUACUUUCAAGUACUCACCUGCCACUGGUUAUGAUGUACCCUUUCAGAUUUAUUUUUCUCCCGCACGCGAAAACAACUAGACCUCUCCUCUCCCCCGUUCACCCGCACAGCGCCAUCUCGCCACCCGUCGCCCGCCAACCUUGGCCGCCGGCCGGCCACCGUCCGCCUCCCCUGGCCGUCGGCCGGCCACCGUCCGCCUCCCCUGGCCGCCGGGCCUCGCGCCGCUGCCCCCUAAUGGCCGUCUGCCACCCCCAUCGUCUGGCCCCCGCUGCCGGCCCCGUGACGCCCGCCGCCGUCCCCCAUCGCCGGGCCGCCGUCGCCAGGCCAUCUGACGGCCGCCUCCUCCUCCUGACGCCCGCUGUCGGGCCCCCAUCGCCGCCCCUCGACGCCCGCUGCCUCCCCUGGCCGCCGGGGCUCCAUCGCCGCCCCCCGACGCCCGCCGCCCGCCGCCGGGCCCGCGUCGCCCCCCUAAGCACCCGCCGCCCCCUUGAACAGGAGGGCGCCCCCAUCACCGGCUCCUGCCCCUGCUCCUGGUGACUGACCAGAGCAUAUACACCCAAGGUAUGUAUCAACUAAUUUUUUUAUAAUUUAUAACAUUUGUUUCGUAUAAAUUAUUUACACUAAUUCAAUUAUUUUAUGUUGUCAGGUACAAUUACAACACAAAAUCAAAUAGGAAGCUACCUGUGAAAAGGAAUUUCUUGAGGUAUGAACAAUCAAUUGUACUAGCCUCUUACUGUUUCUUUUCUGAGAUAAAUCUCAUUUGUUGUUGCUGGCAUCCUCAGUUGUUUUGUCAGAAGUUGAGAGGGGAACUUUUUAUAUGUAUUGUAUUAGUAUUUGACUUACCUAUCAACAUCCACUAUAGCCUGCUUAUGAGAUAAAGCACUUCUCUACUAUCAGUAUGGUUAAAUGCAAAAUGAUAAUUCAAAACUAUAUAAUGGAUGAACAUUUGUACUUUGACAUCUAUGAUUAUUUAUUUCCCAUUAGUUUAAUAGCUGGAUAGUUGGCUUCAUAGUUAUGUCUUAGCUUAGUUCUUAUGAGUUUUCUUUGAUUGGUUGAACUUCAUAAUUUGCUAGUCUCUACUAACGGAUUAACCUCAACCAACAAUGUUUCGUCUAUUGAGUCAUUGGCAAUAUUCUUGUGGAUCGUCGGAGGACCACAAUCUUUUUUACAAGCUGGAAAUCGUUUCACACGGGACAGUUCACAUGAAGUUUCACGAAGUGUUGAAAUGUUUGCGCAAGUUAGCUAAGGACAAUAUUAAGCCGAGAGAUCUUACUUUUUCUACGGAGCAUGAAAGGGUGAGAGAGGACCAUUUUUGGCCAUACUUUAAAGGCGCAAUUGGAGCAAUAGAUGUUUCACAUGUCAAAGUGGUAGUACCAGUGGACGAAGUGGUUCACUACACAUGCCGUCAUGGAUAUACAUCUCAAAAUGUGCUAGCUAUUUGUGACUUUGAUAUGAGGUUCACCUUUGCGGUUGCCGGGUGGCCGGGUUCUGCACAUGACACACGUAUCCUCAAUCAUGCAUUGGCAAAUUUUCCUUCAUUUCCCAUGCCUCCUAAAGGUAUACAUGGUUCUUUCAACAAAUUAGCAAUAUUUGUAUUAUUAUGUACCUUACUGACUUGAUUUUGUAGGAAAGUAUUAUCUCGUGGACUUAGGUUACCCAAACCGAAUUGGGUAUCUUGCGCCUUUCAAAGGAAGCACAUACCAUAUACCAGAAUUUCAGCAUCGUUCGGGACCUCCUCAAGGAAAGUACAAGAUGUUCAAUUUUUUGCAUUCAUCUCUUCGUAAUGUCAUUGAAAGGUCUUUUGGAGUCUUAAAGCAGAAGUGGCGUAUUUUGAAGGAUAUGCCAAGUUUCUCACCUCGUACUCAGAAACAUAUCAUUAUGGCUUAUCUUGCAUUGCAUAAUUUUAUUCGUGAUAGCAAUUUGUGUGAUAAGGAGUUUAAGAGAUGUGAUGAUGAUGAGGAUUACUUGGUACAGCAUACAUGUGGUAUGAGAUAAACACAAGGAGAUGAUAGUGACGACGUGGAGAAUGAGGAUACCAUGAAUACCAUUCGCACUAGGAUAGCUGAUGCUUUGGUUAGUGCGAGAGGAGGAGAGUAAUGUUGAGGAAUGGCAUCCUUGUAUAGAACUUUUUGAUGGAUAUAGUUCUAUUUAUGUGGACCAAUUACUUUAAUGGAUGAAAAAUAUAUAAAAUUUAUUUUUUUUCUUCCUAAAAUAGUGGUUUACAUUUGAACUAGUGAACGCAUUAUUUUAUUACGAGCAAUUUGCAUAUAAACACACUCACAGAUCUUUAGGGGCAUUACAGGUAUUUCUUACACAGCCUACAGUUUCAUAGCUCCUCUAACCAAACGGUCUUCUGCUUUUCCCACAGCUGCUUUUCCACAGCCCACAGCUCACAGCAGCUUUUCCAAAAAUCACAGCCUAACCAAACGCACCCUUAGCUGUGCGUGUUGUGGUAUGCUUACCACAGCACGUAUUAACAUGAGGUGAAAGAAUAAAAGCAAUGGAAUACCCUUACUAUCAGUGACAUCAUUCAUUGUUCUACAACUCUUUGUAGAACAGUCUGCCUUGAAAUUUACUUGUAAGUCCGUACCUGCAAAAGAGCAAACAAUAUAUGUCUUCACGCAGAAUACACAAGGGAUAAGUUACAUAUAGCUAACAAAAACUGAAUAUAUAGGUUCUAUUAAUGUCGAAAGGAACCGAGCAAUAGGGCAUAUUUGCUAAACUACUGCAGACUUUCGAAAAAGAAAUGGUGUAAGUUUGUUCUGGUCCUUAAAAUAUUAGAAAUCAGAAUCUCCAAGGUUGGCAUGUUCAUAAAAAGGAAAAGAGUCAGUGUCCAAAAUCCUCAUUUGUGGCGAUAACUUAUUUUCAGGGAGCAUGUACUCUUAAGAAACAUCUGGCGGUCAUUCAGGAUGCUUGAGUUAUUAUUUGCAGUAUCAACUAAAAUUAGUGUAAAAGAAUACUUUGACACAAAAGAAUCUUGAUUUAAGCAUCACAAUAUUACCCUGCAACACAUCUCGUCUCAUCUGUCUGACUGGAUUAUCUGAAAACACAAUAUUAUUAUCCUGCAACAGAGGUCACCAAUUUGAUUGGAUCAUCUCAAAAUUGAUACAAACAUGGUGAGCUAAACAAAUAAACAUACGACUAAAAAGGAAUAUAUAUGAAGAGAGUUUUAUGGAAUACUGAAUCUAAAAGGAGUUGAAUAAAAUAAUGAGUUCAUCUUUACUUUCGCAAAAAAAAAACAAUGAGUUCAUCUUUCAGGGAAAAAGAAAGAACAGAUGUGUUCAGCUGUAGAGAACUCAGAGCUCACCAAAAGAACUUGCUGGAUUAAUAUGUCUAUUGAGGCUCAAGGGUACUAAUCAGUCUGAAAUGAAAGCAAGUUAUAAGACAUAUAACGUACCUGUGCAUCCUGUAAGUGGGAUGCAGAGAGUAGAAAUGGAGCUAGUUAGAAUAAGUGUGAAGUCAAUGGAGGUAGCCUAUGUUGCUUCAUUUACAAUAUAAUUUUUUUGGUCAAAGCUGAACACCUGUGCCAUAUACGCUAUUUACUAUCAGCUCAAAUUAGGAUGGAGCUUGCAGUUAUGUUGGCACAUCUUGAGUUUCCUUGGCAAGAAUAAAGGUGCACCUGAUACUGAUGGAAUCAGAAUGGUAUAUAUUGUGCCCUUGUUCUUCAUGGAUCUCUAUGCUUCAGAAUCAAAUAAAGAUUCAUCAUUGUUUCCGUUAGAGAGAGAAAGACCUCAAGUUUUGUCCAACUGUAUUGCCUUCUGUAAAGCAGUUUUCUAAUUAACCUCCUUGCAGCUAAACCUGUACACUUAAGGUGUGCAGAUCAAAGCAUGGAUAAAAAUCAAACGUGCAAAGCAGUUGUCAGUGUGAAGAAAUCUACUGUGCUUAGGAAACAUGGAGUGAAAUGCAAACUAAGCAAUGCCACAAGAAAUUAGGCCUAUAAAUGGCUGAUGCUGUAAACUACAGGAAGCUAACGUCAGGUAAAUAAAUUCCUCUUAUGGGAUGAGGUAAACAUGAAUCUUCUAUGGUCUGAUGGGAAGCAAAUUAUGUUGACCAGCUAGGAGAAACAAAGAGAACUGAUCAAGAAAAAAACUAAUUCGAUUGAAGCCAAUAACUAAAUAUAAGAGUAUUCAAGAAAUUAAAGAAGAAGUAAAAUGGAGUGGGCAGGAGAAGGAUUGCUGGUAGUGCUUACAUCUGAGAACGCCGAUCACAUGACUCCCUUUCAAGGCAACGGUGCCUGGGAUAUGGGAGACUCAGGCUGGCACGCGUCAGGGCUGAUGGCAGCUGGAUCUUGGAGGCUCGAGGAGUCGAGGAAGAGUCACCUGGUCAGCUGGUCCUCACUGUCUAGCUCCUGGCGUUGACCUCUUGGUCCUCUUUGUCCGUGAGGCCAGGGAAUUCUUGGGGCCUAUGAGGUUACAUAUUCUGUUCCGCCAGUGAUUAAGGUCGUCAGUGAUACAUGUUGUCUACCAGACUACCACGCAGUAAAACAUGGAAUUGCCGUAACGCCAUUUUCCCCCCAACAUAUGGUGAAGACUGAAGAGGACACAAACACAUGGACCUGCAUGGCAACAUCAUCCAACGAAAAGACAUUCCAAACACCAGUUUUUGACGUUCAGAAUUACUGCUUCGAAGUGACACAAUACAACAUUCGGCACCACACAGCGCACUGCACUGCAAACCCAACUUGAUUCAUCACACAUCACACGAUCGAACGCAAAGGAGACACGUCCAGGACUCCAGGUCCAGCAUUACAGCGGAGACGAGCAGCGCCAGCUCCGGUGGCCCGGUCCUCCUACAUGGCAUACCUCUGGGUCCAGGUCCUCGCGGUGUUCUCGUACUUGUGCCGGUCCGUCUUGUACAUGUGCGCGAUCUCGGGGACCAGAGGGU